AAUCGAGUUUAAAAGGGCAUUAGAUAAAAGUGUUAAUUCAUAUAGUUCCUUGCAAAUAUAGUAAAUAUGUAGUGAAUGAGAAAUAUAUUUUUACAAAAUUCAACUUUCAUAUAUUGUUUCUAUAAAAAUUUUGAUAUUUUCAAAUAUAUCCCUACCGUUAAAAUCGGUUAGAAAAAUUUAUUUAACCAUAGGUUAAAUAUUGAAGCUUGAUUAGUUUUUGAUAUUUUUACCCUUUUAUAUUAUACUGUUAUGGUUUUUAGAGGAACAUAUUUGUGAUGACAAAAUUGAAAAUAUAAACGAUUCUUUAACAAUAACAAACCAGAGAGACAUUUGAAAAUAUUAAAACUUUUAUAGGGACAAUAUAUGAAAGUUGAACUUUGUAGGGAUAUAUUUGUAAUUCACUAUAUUUGUAGAAAUCUGUAUGAAAUUAAUUCUAGAUAUAUAAAAUUGUUUGUUUUGUAGUGGUGUACCUUACAUAAACAAAUGAUUACAAAAUGAAUGGUCUAAACUAGUGAACUCCAAGCAGUGAGAUACAAGAAGAGAAAAAGGUGAGAUCAUGCUGCCAAUCCGAGCUCACAAGUUGGAGUGCAGUGAUAUGUUACCCACUUCAUUCAUUAGAAAAAGUUUGUGGGUUUCACAAUCUUAAUUUUAGAGAUUUGAAUUGUCUACCACCCACGGGGUUGCUGAUACAACUGUUAGAUUUUUAGCAGAAUUAAUCUGUGCCACCUAUAUUGAACAGUGCAGGAUAAUUAUACUAAAAAUCAAUGGCGGGAUGAAUCUUGUGAGAAGAAAAUCCUGCACACAGAAUUGUAAGCUUUUGCUUCCUUGAUUUAGUACCUUAUCUGUCCGAAGUCAAAAAACCGAUCUCAAAAUGUUCUAAAAAUUCAUGUUUCCAGAGAAUCCAGCUACAGAAGAACCAGGAACAAAGAGCUCUCCCUUUUGCCUGCUUGAUUCGUUGGUCGAUAGGAGGAUCUCGUCAGUUGGUGGAUGCAGAUGCAAAUUCAAUCCAACUUCAGCCUUGUCCAAUGGACCAAUAUGGGCCAAAUGGGCUCCAUUUAGCCCAGACCACAAUUCACACAGGCCCAUUACAUUUGAUGGGCUUAAACACAUUAGUCUAGACAGGGUUGACCGGGUCGGAUCCCCAGUGCUUUGAAAAUUUGACCCGGUUGGACUUUGCACGGGUCUAAUCAAUACCAUAUUUUAGGCCGAUGUUAGGACACAUUCGGUUCGUAAUUGAAAAAUAAAAUAAAAUAAAAUUUGAUUAUAUUAGAGUAAAAAGUAAAAUAAUAUAUCAUUCACAAUUUUGAAUUUAUUGUUGAAAUGAAAACCAAAACAAACUAUUGGGAUAUUUAUGAAGUAAAAGAAAAUUUUGAAUAAUUUACCAAUUAAAAAUUCAAAAUUAGAUUGAACUAUAAAUUGCUGGGACCAUUCCGAUUCUAGAAUUGAAUGCAAAUUAAAAUCUGUUUUCACUAAAAUAAAUAACAACUAUCGAACUCAAUUGAUUUUAUUUUGAUUGAGGGCCUAAAAUCUAAUGGUUAAUGCAUUUUUAUUCUAAAAUAGACAGCAAACAUUAUAUACUAAAUCAAGAUAAUUAUAAAUACAAAGAUAAGAAUGGUAAUAUUGGGCUUGAUGCCGUUGACGGACAUAUUAAAAAGAGGAAAGGGACAAAAGUAAAAAAACAAAUAGAGUUUAAGGGAGGUAAAAAAAAAAAUUAAUUGGAAAAAAAGAGUGAAACUUAAAUUAGAAAAAUUGGGAAGAUAAGUCAGAAGAUAGAUGCACAUCGCCCUUCGUUUGCGCUCUCUAAUCUAAUAUAUAUAUAUAUAUAUAAUAAUCUAAUCUCCAUUCUUUGCUAUAUAUGAUAACUCCCACGGGUCUCCCCCUUUUCCCAUUUCGAGGCUCUCCAUUCAUUCGACAACGCCAAUAAGCGAAGAGAGAGAGAGAUAGAGAGAGAGAGAGAGAGAGAGAGAGGGGGAGAGAGAGAGAGAGACCUCGUCUCGCGAAGGAGAGGGGAUCGCACGGAGGAGGCGACGCCAUGAUGGAUCCCUCCAGCGGCGGCGGCGGCGGCGGCGGCGGAGGAGGAGGAGGAGGGGAAGGAGGAGGCGGAGCGGCGGGGGCGAUGGAGUCGUGGGCGGCGGAGGCGGCGCGGCGGUACCAGCACCUGCUCGACCGGGCGACGCCGCACGUGGGGCGGCGGUGGGUGGGGCUCGGCGCCCUCGCCCUCGUCUACGCCGUGCGCGUUUGGUUCGCCCAGGGGUUCUACAUCGUCUCCUACGCCCUCGGCAUCUACGUCCUCAACCUCUUCAUCGCCUUCCUCUCCCCCCAGGUCGACCCCGAGGUCGAGAGCCUCGGCGACGGCCCCGCGCUCCCCACGCGCUCCUCCGACGAGUUCCGCCCCUUUGUGCGCCGCCUCCCCGAGUUCAAGUUCUGGUGCGUAACCCCUUCAAAAUCGGUUCUUUCGAUCUGUUUGAUGCGUGAUCUCUGGUGGGCAGAGGAAGGAUUUGAUGUUCUUGUUUAUAAGUUUAGGGUUUUUAUGCGGUAAAAUUGGUGAUUUGACCUAAAUAGAUUAGUACCAGGACAUGAUAAUGCGGAUUGAGCAUUCCAGGGUACUUGCAGUUUGUGGGAGUUAUGUGAUAUCGGCAGAUCUAGGAGGGAUUUGCUUGAAAGCUGAAUAAUUGGCGUAGAAAUGAAAACUUUGUAGCUUGGCCCGGGUAUUGAUUUCUCCCUGGAAUAGAUAUUGGUGUUCUUACAUCUUAACAUUAGUUAUGUUAUCUUUUCUCUUUCUUGUGAGGACGAUUUUUCAGUUUAGGAACGACAGCUCUAUGUCGGAUCUCCUGGUGUUGCUAACUCUCUUUGCUACAUGGAGUAUGAUGGGCAGAAAGAAAUAGAAUUAAUAGGCGUAAAGAUGGUCAGGAGAGUUGAAGAUUAAGCCUGUUUCUGCAUCCGCGUUUACUUGGAAUUUUAAUGAAUUGAAAUUCGUGUAAAUGCGUAUGUUCUUGCUUAUUAUCAUUGUGCUUAGGAUGUGCAACCUCUUGUAAGGCCUAAUCAGGAAAUAUAUGUUGCCCAUAACACUAAUGCUUUGAUUCUUUAGAGGGUCUAAACACUUCCAUUAUCAAGCUUUUCUUCUCUAAUGCUAUGAAAUAAUGUUGGCACCAGAGAAGCAUUUGGUGUAACGUGCUCUCAGGGUGAUUCCGACGACAAUAUUUGAGCAUCAAAGGAGGGAAGUUCUAAAUUUCUUUUAGGCCCUUAAAAGUGUCAGAGUCGAUGGGGAAUUUUUAGGCCCUUAAAAGUGUCAGAGACAAUGCACCACAUUUCCAAACGGGGUCUGCUAGAAGCUUUUCAUUACAAAAUGUUGUUGUAGUUGUGAUCCUAGUUAGCUACCUUUGUACAUCGUUGAUUUAUUGAUUUUAUGUUCUUAAAAAUGUCUUAUUAUUAGUCAUGCUGUUUAGCUGCUCUUUUACAAUAUUGGUUGUUUGGUUUGAUGGAGAUACUAAUCUAUCUGGUCCUUGUCUGCUUAUUUUCUAUGUUGAUGUCUAAAUCUGUUGGUGCAUUAUCAUUCCAGCCACUUCUGAAAAGAAAUUUAUGUUAUUUGUAAACACUGUCUGAUGCUUGCUUGUUGUUUGGGAUGCUUGCCUGAGUUGGGUAGUUAAUUGAUUAAUUUGUCUCAUCAAAAAUAAAUUUAUGGUCGACCAAAGUAGGUUUUAUAAAUGGAUAUAAACGAUGACUAAAAUUAGAAUUCAUUAGCAAUUCUAUUUUGGCUUUAUUUUACCAUGCAAGUUAUCCAGCCGAAAUAACCACUAAAUGGGAGAAAAUGAGUGGAAAGUUCAACAAACUGCAAGAUUACAUCACAAGAAAAAGUCUAAUCUCAUAUUUCCUUCUAAUGCCAUUCUCAGGUUCUAUCUUGUCCUUGUUAAUACUAGGUAAUUUAUAGCAUCCUUAUCCUGGUGAUGCUUUCUCAUAUCUAACCAAUAGUUUUAUCAUCCUUACCGUGUCACUUGGCAUUUCUUUCUCAUAAGCGGAUGACUAUUGAAAUGAGGGAAAAUAAUCUCAAGUUUUAAGUUCUCUACUAGAAAAGACAUAAGAUGGGCAUAUAUAAAGAUUAAGAUUCUCACUUCUCCAAUAAAAAGUUGAUCAGUUGCCUUAGUCAUUAUGUGAUUAGUUAGUGGUUGGUGGUGCUUGAGCUUCUACUCUUUGAUUAAGCUACUUUUGUGUCCUGACAGCCCUUCCAGCUGCAUCUUCAAAUGCAAUUUAUCAACAGUUCUGCAUGAUUUUUUAACUUAACCGGUCUCUUUCUUUCUUUUGCUUUUUUUCUAAUCAUCGAAAUUUGUUUCUCUUAGGCAGGAGAGAUUAUGCUUGGCCGUCGUGCAUGCCCUUUCUUUGUGUAGUAGUCCACUUUGUCAAUUGAUUUAUUGACCUUACAAAGGCUGUUGAGUCGUUAGAGCUAUCUGUACUUUCAUAACUAGGUGCAAUUAAUAACUUUCCAUUUUCUCCUGUGCAGGUAUUCACUUACUAAAGCGGUAUGUAUCGCUUUCGUGGCGACAUUCUUUAGUGUGUUCGACGUGCCAGUGUUUUGGCCGAUUCUACUUUUCUAUUGGUUUGUGUUGUUCACGGUCACAAUGAAGCGACAAAUUCUUCAUAUGAUUAAAUACAAAUACGUUCCUUUCUCCUUUGGGAAGCAGGUAAGUCGAGCUCAAUAUUAAUUAGAAAAUCUUCUAGUUUUCUAUCACGUUUAAUUUCUUAAUCUUUGGCUUUCUUUUUCAGCGCUACACUGGGAAAAGGGCAGCUUCUGUCGACACCGAAAUUCUUCCUAAAGAUUAAAUAUUACCAUUGGGAUCGAAAUGCUAUUCUUAGAAGAUAGCUUUGCAGGGUAAUCCAGAGUUAAAAGAUGAUUUACUUUUUCUCAGAUCGAAGGAUUAGUGAUUUUCUUUUCUAGUAAACAUUUGGUGUCAAAAGUAAAGACUGGGAAAACCUUUUGGGAUCCCGAACUUACAGCCAGCUUCAGGAAACCAGUUAUAUCUCCCCCUCUUUUCUUGUAUCUGAUUUUGUUAAUGCAAUAUCAAACCAAGCAUAAGUUUUACUGUAUCAGAUAAUUGGAGGUGGCUAAAUAUGCCAACUCUUAGUUCUAAUUUAUCGCUCUUUGUAAACGUUCCUUGUACUGAGGUAUUGGGGAAUGAUCAACUCUUUAGAAGAAUAAAAUUUGAGCAACAUCCUCGAUCAAACCUGGGAUUUCUCAUGUGUCUUGCUGCAAGCAGGAAAGUUCGUAUGUUUUCUUUCAUUUCGUAUAAUAGUUCAGGGAAUUUCACUUGAUUAGUUCGUCUCACAGUUGAUUUAAUUGCGUGGAAGAAUCUAAGUUGUUGAACCUAUAAUUUUGAAAUCAUAAUAUUUAAUUAAUGGUACAUACAUAUUUAAUGGUGCAUAUUGUUGAUUCAAAAUAUCUUUAGUUGGUACAUCACCUGUAAAUCAUAUGUACGUAUACUUUCCCACCGCAAACAAAGAUCACUUCCUCACAAUACACACGGACAGGUCGGUAGUACUAGUACAUGAACCCUCCUUAGUCCUUACUCGCCUAAUCGAACGCGACGGUAUCACACAUGGCCUUCGCCGCCGCGCUCCUCCUCGCGCGAGGCGCCCCGCUCCUCCUCCUCCGCUGGAGCGCGCGCGCCCCCCGCGCUGGCGCCGGGGCCGCCGCGCUCGGGGCGGCGCGCCGUCACCUCUCGGCGCUCUCCACCGCCGACGACCUCCCUCCGCCAGCGCCGCCGCCGCACGUCGACGGCGGGGUCGGCGCUCCGCUCGGGGCCAAGGGCCCCGCUCCCCCCUCCCUCUCCAAGGCCUGGGCCGACGAGCCCGGGUUUCGCCGGUGGAAGGAUAAGGAAGCCGAGAUCCUUAGCGACAUCGGGCCCAUCAUCGCCCUCACCAAGAAUAUACUCCACUCCAACAGGUACCGGAGAGCUCGAAUUAGAAUUAUGGUGGUAGGUCAUCGGGUAAUCCUUUUUUGAGAAAGCGGAUUCCUCAAACAGUGGUUUCUAAUGGCGUUUCCUGGACUCAAAUGUCCUGAUAAAUUGAUUGGAGAAUCGAUCUCCCUUUUUCUGCAAUCUUUCGUGGCAAUUGAGAUUACUCACGCUAUAUGAUAUGUAUGUCGAUUGCAUUCUUUUUCGGCGAAGCCAACAGUAGAAAAAGUGCUUUUUUUCUCUGUACAAAUGAAGCUUUUUCUACACUUGUUGGUUUGCACCACUAAUCAUCUACUACUUUGGCAUGUUAUGGGAAGCUUUAUGCUACAGAACAUGGAAGUGAAGCACUAGAGAGCUCCACGAACUUUGUGUGUUACAAAAAUGAAAAUGCUUAAGAUAAGAAGGCAACUUAAACUCUAAAUGCGGAAGCCAUGAAAAGGGCACGGAAGCUAAAGACGACUUGAGUUGAAUUUAGCGAAUUGGAAAAUAUAUGUAAGUUUUGCAGCUUGUGCUCAAGCAGCUCAUUAACCGAAAGCUUUUAGGGAGCAAAGUGAUAACUUCGACCUGGGGAGUCCCAUUCUUCUAGGAAUCACGAAAAAUGAAAAAUCAGUGAUAGGCGGUCGCACUAUGUGAAUGUACUCAACCAAGUUACGUAUUUCAUAGUGCGAGAAGCAUAAGACUUAGGUGUGAUACCUGUAAAUUUUUACAAAAACAGAUGUCAUGAGAUGACGAGAAAAACUAAAGUAUCACUGCCUGAUGAUUCAGUGCAAUGAUGCUUCAGUUUGAUUGUUGGUAAACGUCGAGGAUUUUCUGAAGACUGAGCAAAGAUGAGGAAAUUGGUUGUAAAUUUUCCAUUUUCCCUUGGAGUUGGAUCAUCUGGAAACCAAGCAAGUAAAACUUGCUUAUAGGUUGCUUACGAAUUGAAGCAAAAGAUUUUUCAAGGCGGUGUAUGCGGAGGCCAGGAAGAUCUGCAGUGUUACUACUCGUCGAGUCGCAAUUUUCACAAUGUUGUAUGGUCUGCCACAGUUUAUUCUACCCUUUUAACUGACUCAUUUUGCAGCAGAUACAGGGAUGGUGAACAUCUAAGUGCAGAGGACCAGAAGGCUGUUGUAGAAAAGCUUCUCGCCUAUCAUCCACAUUCAGAGGAUAAGAUUGGUUGUGGCCUCAACUCCGUAAUGGUAAGUCCCCAAUUCAUGAUCUUGCAUAUUUUCUCUUGAAUAUUAGCUGUACAAUCUUAUAACAUUUUACCUGUAUUUUAGUUGUUUUAUAUUCACACAAUUUUGUUUAUUUGCACAGAUUCGUAUGAAUAAAUGUAGUUCGUAAUCAAUAUCACGUUGUGUGCCUUAAUUAAACUGGUAAAAUAUUUGAGCGAAAAUGAAGGCAACUUCAGGGCCCAUUUAAUUGAGCUGCAGUGUGACAUUGUUAGAUGACAUUCAGUUGCUCGUUCUUUUUUGUGCCUGCCUUAUUUCUCUUUCCCUUGUUUUUUUUAUUUUUUCUGCAUUAUCAGCAUCUCAUGCAGGGAUUUUCAAUCCAUUGGUUAUGGAUGAAAAUACCACAAAAUUUAGAAAGAUUUAAGCUGUGGACUGUUAAAUAUUAAUAUACAUGUACGAUUUUUUUAAAGCUUGUGCAUCUUCCUUGCCUUUUGGCAUGAUUGACUACUUUAAGUUAGUGUUUGCCAAUUUUGUUAAAAAGGUUUUACCAAAAAUCCUUUUAAAUUGAACAUGAACUUUCACAUAACUUGUCUUCUUUGUUUCUUUUCUUUUUUUUUUUCUGUAUUUAGGUCGACAGACAUCCACAAUUCAGAUAUUCAAGGUGCCUCUUUGUUGUACGAAAUGACGGUGGCUGGAUCGAUUUCUCAUACCAGAAAUGUCUUCGAGCAUACAUCCGAGAGAAGUAUCCAUCUCACGCAGAGAGGUUUAUCCGAGAACAUUUCAAACGGAACUGAAGGUGAGGUGAAACCUGUCUUAGGGGUUCUUGUGAUGGCUAGCAUAGUAAUUUGCUGAUCUUUUAGCUCACCAUCUUCAAUCAUUCCCAGGCCGUUGAAAUUUAGAGUUUGGAUGUAUGAACUAGGCUCCAAGGAAGCACAAUUUUAUGAACUGGAUAGUGCAAAAAUUUAUCAGAUUAGUUAUCUGUUUUGCCUCUAAACUAUUUCUCUAUAUCAGAUUCACCGAAUGCGGAAUUAUUUGCUGUAUCCUGUGACUUUUGUUAAAACUCGGCGAAAAGCUUAUGCAAAUUUGGUUCUUCGUACUCUGUAUUACACCUCUGGACUCUUUUUGUUGUGUAUUUGAAAGCGAGAAAAAAAGUUUAAAAAAAUAAAAAAGACAGAGAAUCACCCUUGACUUUUGUGGAAGCUUUUACGUUUGUCCCAAUCUUUUUAUUGUGGGGAUGAAAUCGUAUUUUGUUCUUAUAUCCUGUUUACCCUUGAUUGAUGAUAUUAUAAUAAUAAUGUGUGAAAGUAAUUCAGGCUAAAUUACACUUUUAGUCCUCAAACCACAAGGCGUGUAAAAUUUUAAUUUAUUAUAAUUUUUAACAUAAGUUUUUAAAUUAAGUUUUAUAAUUUAAUUUAUAGUUUAUUAAAUGCUGAUAUAUAACCGAUGUGUAGGUAAUAUUAUAUUUGGAGUACAGCAACUUAUAGAUUCCUUUAUACUCAUAAAUUUUCAAACAUAAAAUUUCGGCCUUUGAACGAAAAAUGUGAUGUUAGGAUGAUUAGUGAUUUUCGGUUACGGUGAUAAUGGUCUUUUAGGGUUGAGUGGAUGAUUGUUGAAUAGUAUAAUUUAACGGAUGGAAUUGAUUAAAGAGAUAAAUUUAACCGUUAAAAAUUUAUGAAUAAAAAAGGAUAUAUAAUGAUAAGAGUAUAAUAGUUAGACUCAUUUCUAUUUUUUGUAUUAUUAUUGGAUUAUCAGUAACAGUAUCAUUAUAUAUUUAGUUGGAGGACCAAUCGUGUAAUUUUGCCCUGCUGACUUCUUCAGCUCUCUGCUGCCGCACCCCGGACGAUAUUCUUUCUCCCUCCCCAACCCGACGUCCCUCCUUCUUCUUCUUCUUCUUCUUCUUCUUCUUCUGUAUCUCUCUCUGCUCUUCAUGACCGCAUGAGAUGGGCCAGAGCCCACCCCCACUCUCUUCUCCGGAGAUCCAACCCCCAUCAUCUGCAUCUCCUCCUCCACCCCAUCGCCACCAUCUCCCUCUCCGCCGAGCUCUCCCUGACCGAGUCCCUCGUCUCCCUACUCCACUCCCUCGUCCGCAGCGGCGUCGUCUUGCUCGCCAUGGCCGUCUACAACCGCAUGAUCAAGUCCGACUGCCGCCCCAAUCGCGCCACCUACAACAUCCCAAGGCCGUCGAGGCCUUCGCCCGCAUGCCCGACUUCGGCGCCCGCCCCAACACCUUCGUCUUCAACACCCUCCUCCGGGCCCUCGUCCGCAGCGGCGUCGUCUUGCUCGCCAUGGCCGUCUACAACCGCAUGAUCAAGUCCGACUGCCGCCCCAAUCGCGCCACCUACAACAUCCUCAUGGACGGCCUCUGCAAGGCCGGCAUGGCCGACGACGCCCUCGCCCUGUUCGACGAAAUGCUCGGCCGAGGCAUCCCCCCCAACACCGCCAUCUACACCGUGUUCCUCUCGUCCCUCUGCAAGGCCGGUAAGCUCGACGAGGCGAGCGGCCUCUUGCACUCCAUGAGGCGCAAGGGGUGCGGCCCCGACGCCAUCACGUACAACGCGUUGCUGAGCGGGUUCUGCAAGCUGGGCCGCAUCGACGAGGCUUUCCAGCAUUUGGAGUCGUUCCGGGAGGAGGGCGGUUUCGUUCUCGGAUUGAGCGGGUACAGCUGUUUGAUCGACGGCCUGUUCAGGGCGGGGCAGUUCGACGAGGCGUGUCGGCAUUACAGGGAGAUGCUGGAGAGGAAUGUGGCGCCGGACGUCGUCCUCUAUACGAUAAUGAUCAGAGGGCACGCCGAGGCCGGUAGAAUCGAGGAUGCUUUCGCGUUCUUGGGCGAGAUGUCUAAUCGCGGUCUAGUCCCCGACACAUUCUGCUAUAACACUCUCAUUAAGGGCCUCUGCGACGCGGGUUAUCUUGAUCGGGCGCGUUCUCUCAGGUUGGAGAUCUCGCAGAACGACAGGUUCCCCGACUCGGCCACGUACACUAUCAUGAUUUGCGGGCUGUGCAAGGAAGGUCUUGUUCACGAGGCGCAGCAAAUCUUCGAUGAGAUGGGGAAGCUAGGGUGCUAUCCGACGGUCAUGACGUUUAAUGCGCUCAUUAACGGUUUUUGCAAGGCUGGGAAGCUAGAAGAAGCCCGCAUCCUGUUCUAUAAGAUGGAGAUGGGACGAAACCCUUCUCUGUUCCUUAGGCUCUCCCACGGGGCCAACCAGGUCCGCGAUAGCGAGAGCCUUCGUCGGCUGGUCGAGGAGAUGUGUCAGUCGGGGCUUGUUCUGAAAGCGUAUAAGCUUCUCCGAGGUAUAAUAGACAGCGGAGUUGUGCCCGACGUUGUCACGUAUAACAUACUGAUCAAUGGCUUAUGUAAAGUGGGGAAUCCGGAUGGGGCGCUGAAGCUCUUCAAAGAGCUUCAAAUGAAGGGGCAUUCCCCUGACGCAGUCACUUACGGGACGUUAAUCGAUGGGCUCAUGAAGGCUCACCGAGAAGACGAUGCUUUCAUGGUGUUUCAGCAUAUAUUGCGGGGUGGGUCCACCCCUAGCUUGUCGAUCUACAGCACCCUCAUGAGAACUUUGUGUAGGAAGAAGAGAAUAUCGCAAGCAGUGAACCUCUGGUUGAACUACUUGUCUCAACAGUGCCAAAAUCCUCAAGAAGCUGGAGUAGUUGCAGCGGUGAGGAAACAUUUUGAGGACGGUGAGUUAGAAGAAGUAAUAAGAGGCUUAAUUGAUAUGGAUCGGAAACACGGUUCCGUUCGUCCAUUUCCGUACACAAUUUGGCUUAUUGGGUUUUGUCAGGCGAGAAAAGUCGAGGACGCUCUUAGGAUUUUUAACAUUCUGAGAGAGCUCGACAUUGACGUUACUCCGCCAAGCUGCGUCCUUCUUAUUAAUUGCUUAUGCAGGACUAGGGAUCUAUCCUCGGCAUUGGAUGUUAUGCUCUAUGCAUUGAGAAAAGGUUUCAAUUUUAUGCAACCAGUUGGCAAUCGCCUACUUAAGAGACUUUGUGUUGAUAACAGGAAGCAGGCUGCCAAAGCCCUCGCAUGGCGAAUGCAUCUUGCUGGAUACGAUAUGGACGCAUAUCUGCGGGAUACUACUAAAGUCCUAUUAUACAAUCAUUAGAAGUCUCUCUUGUAUUUUACUUACGACUUCACCGUUUCUUUCAAGACUGAUUGUAGGAUUUUCGUAUAAUUGGAAGAAGUUGCUUGGGUAAAUUACCCAUUUUCAAAAUGAAGCAGCUGCAGAGGGGGUACCAAACUUUGUAUGGUUGGGUGUUUUUUUGACCCCUACAGUAGUUUGUAACAUCAAUAAUAAGGUAAGGUAGUUGAUGAGGAUUUUUUUUUUUCUUUCUAAUUUAUUUCCUUAUAUUAUGCUCUCUCAUAAGUUUCUGAUUGCUCUUCUUCACGCAGUUUAAUAUUAUUUUGAAGUUGAUAUCUCCGUAAUCACAAAUUAGCAACCUUAGUAAACCUUUGAAAGUGUAUAUAACCACUAACUCGAAUUGCAGUUAUUCUGAAUUCAUCAGUCAUUUUUGACUCUAGAAUUUCCCCCUUCUAAGCAUUUCAAGAAUGAGAGCAUUCUCAGCCUCAUAACCCUAAUUCUCAAGUUUCAACAUUUACUACUGUAAUUCUUGUUCUUGUUUCUGUUCUUAGUCUCUAUGUUAGUUUUAACUCUAGAAUUUCCCCCUUCUAAGCAUUUCAAAGAAUGAGAGCAUUCUCAGCCUCAUAACCCUAAUUCUAAGUUUCAAUAUUUACUAGUGUAAUUCUUGUUCUUGUUUCUGUUCUUAGUAUCUAUGUUAGUUAAUGCUGAACUCUGUUCCUUCCGAGAUCAGUAUACAUUGCAUUGCAGUUUGCAAUUUCUUCAGGAGAUUAAUGCAGGGAAGGUCGAUUUGCGAUCCUCAGAGAAGCCGACGCAAUUGUUGAUACGUUUAGCGUAGCGAGCAUCCGAAAGCUAUACCUGAUUCGAGGUAAUCUUUUCGAGUAUCUGUCUUUGGGUUUUCCACUUUCCAGAGAAGCUGCAUACAUUCUAUCUGGUCUCUGAAGUUCUCCAGCAAGUUACAUAUUCUUUGUUUAGAGGUGCAAAAGUCUAAUGUUCUUCUGCAUCCAAGUUAGAGUACUUACUCCUCUGAAAAACAAAAUUCAGAGUAAUUCUACUGCUUUUUCUGCAUCCUUAUUCUGGUGGGAAUAAAAUAAAAAAUUCUAUUCUGCAUAACUGCACUCAUAUUCCAGAAAAUAUUAUUCUGAACAUAUGCUAAUGUACCCAAAAGAAAUACAUACCACCGAUGAAUUUUCGCUCUGAGAAGCUGGUUUUGAAAACUGCCAUCACCAUUGAAGUCGCCGACGAUAGUGCUCGAUUCAAAUUCAAAUACUUCAAAGCAAUUUUAGUUUAUUAUCUAUGAAAGGAUGAGCAUUUGCGUACUAGUUCACAAACAAUUGUUGAUUCCUAGUCUAGCUGUAGCGUUUUCGACUAUCAUAACUACCAUUUAUUUUGUGAGUUGUACAAAUUAUCCAGUUAAUUGUUACAUAUUAAGUUAGGUUUUUGACUCAUGAUAAUUUGAACUGGGGAAAUAAACACAUAAUAGGUUUGGUACAAGAAAAACAUACGACACGCAACACAUUUCUCCAAGUAAAAUGAGAUUUUCCAUAAAUAAUAAUCAAAUUGGGAAAAAUGCUAGGUGAUGAGGCUUAACAAGUUUCAAAUCGCGAAUACUUGCGCGAGAACGCAUAAUAUGCCUUAAAAAGUAUUGAAAAAGUUAGCAUGAAAAGUAGGGCUCCAAACACCCUAGAAUGUGUGGUAAUGAAGCACGGAAUUAAUUGGGUGAAGAGUUCAUUACAUGUCUAAUGUAUAGUAAAUUAUUAGAAAAAUAAUAAAGAAGAUACAUACUUUGAUGACUUUGAGAAAAGAUUUCUUUUUACAGACAAUUAAUAUAUUUUGCAAAAUCCAUACGACGGUACUUUUAAAAGCGAAAGAGUUUAACAUGCUUAUAAUUUUUUAGUCAUUAAAUUGCCGCAAAAUCAGCCCAACACUAGCAAAGAAAACUUAAGAAGACACAUCGAUAAUAGUGUUGUAUGAGUUUUAAGACGAGUUUUAAGAAAAUCUGACGGUUAAAAAGUUACAAAUACAAAUAUUUAUGAGCUCAACUCUCCAUAUGACAAGGAUUACGCGUAUUGAGAAAGAAAUGCGAUAAUUACAAAUAUACCCAGUUGAAAACCCCAGCACAUGUCUUCGGAUUUGUUCAAAUAUUUGGAUUGUGAGUAAGAUGGUAAAACCCAGGAGCAUGCAAUAACUUUUCCUUAAUUUGGUGGUUGUAGCUGUAAUUAACAGAACCACUCCAGUACUAGUCACAUGGUCUCUGAGCAACCCUAGCUACUGAUCAUUAACAGCUUCUUCCUUCUCCACUAACCCUGCAAGGUCAAUGCUAGGGCCCAGGUGUCACCUGGAUGUUUAUAACUUCAUCCAUAUGUUAAUAAAUUUCAUCUGAUAUUUUAGGUUACUUGUAUACAAUAGUCAAAAAAAAAAAAAAAAAAAAAAAAAAAAAAAAACUGCAUAUCAUGUAUAUAUAUCACCCAUGUUAUUCUACGCGAAAAUACUACGAAGUCAACCAACAACUUACCAUAAAUAACAAAAUCUCAUUAACUGGUUAGAAAUUUCAUGUAGAAUCACUGAUAAAGAGAACCAUCUUUCUGACUAUUAGAAGUAUAACUGUAAAAAGUACUAUAAAUGUGUCAUAUAAACUCGUCAACAUAUUAAGUGUUUAGAUAUUUUUUAAAAGUAAAAAAAUCUAGGUGGUCGUAGAUGUCGAGUUAAAGAGACCAACAUCUUAUCCUGUGGCGGAAGAUCAGAGUUAGCCGAGUCACGUUCGAAAUAGUGUGAGACUGAAUUAGAUCGAGUCAUGUUCGAAAUAGUAUGAAACAAGUUGGGCCUAGUCACAACAAUCGAGAAUUAUGAACGUUAAGUCUGUAGGCUAUAAGUAAUUUGAUUAUAUUUUUCUAACCACUUAGAUUUUGAGAUUAAUUAUUAGCGCUAACGAUCCGACAAUAGACUCAUACAAUUUAUUCCUCUGCUUCUUUAUAACGUUCUUCAAGGUCAAAAUAUUUAUGGCGCGCUCUUCUGCGCCUAAAAUGAUCCCCUUCAAAAUUUAAUGUCCUCUGUGCUCUGCUCCUCUUUCAUUACCACACCCCAACCCCUCCAUUUCUCCACACCCCUCACAUCACUCCACCACUUCUCCUCACAACACAUUUUUGUUCAACAACUAACUAAACCCCUCAAACACCACCACCACCACCUCCUCCUCCUCCUCCCCUUCUUCAUAUAUUCCACCCCCAUAAAUCCUCUUUCUAAAGCACACACAUUUUGUGUUGUCCCAAAUUUGCUACAACAUAAACCCCUCCCCAAAAACAAGAAAAAACACCACCAUGCUCAAUUCCACUCUCUUCCUCUCUUUCCUCCUCUUCCUCCUCCUACUGGCUUGUUCGAUCACGGCGCUUACGCCGGACGGCGUAUCGCUCCUCUCCUUCAAGUACGCCGUCCUCGACGACCCCCUCGCGGCGCUCGCCGACUGGGACUACGCCGACGACACCCCGUGCUCCUGGAACGGUGUCGUCUGCGCGGAAUUCCCUGCAAUCACCAACAGCAGCAGCAGCAGCAGAGUGAUCGGCCUGAGCCUCCCCAAUGCUCAAUUGCGAGGUGCCGUCGCGCCGGAGCUUGCGCUCAUAGAGCACCUCCGCCGCCUCGACCUCUCCGGCAACGCACUCGCCGGUCCGGUCCCCGCGGAGCUCGCGCUCCUUCCCAAUCUCACCACUCUCUCUCUGGCCAAUAACUACUUCUACGGCGAGCUCCCCGCCGGCGUGUCGGAUUCCCUCGAGGUGUUCGAUGUGAGCUCCAACCUCAUCAACGGCUCCCUCCCGCCGGGUCUCGGCACGGGGAGCCUCCGGUACCUGAAUUUGUCGCACAACCGGAUAAGCGGCACGGUACCGCCGGAGCUCGGUUCGGCGCUUCCCGCGAACGCCAUGAUCGACCUCUCGUUCAACAACCUCACCGGGCCAAUUCCACAGGCCGGAGCUUUCACCGCACAGAAUGCGGUUGCCUUUGCGGGGAAUCCCGGUCUUUGUGGCUCGCCGCUUAUCAAGAAAUGCGCCAUCUCCUCCUCGCUCUCCAACGCUCCUCCUAACAAUGUCUCCGCCGCCACGGCAACUCCCCCGGUGUCCAAGGCCUUUGCGGCGAUACCCGAGAGCCCGAAUGCGGAUUCCUUAGCUGGGAAUGGCGGCGGUGGGGGAUCGGCAAGGCCACGGGGGCUCAGGCCGACUACUAUAUUCGCGAUCGCCGCUGGAGAUUUCGUCGGAAUCGGAGCACUCUUCGUAGUGUUCUUGUACAUAUAUCAGGUGAAGAAGAGGAAGCAUGAGAGUGAAGGGAUUGAGACGAAGCAGGUUGAAACUGCCGCCGACGACGAGGAAAAUGUGCAAGAGCUCGGCGGCGGCGUCUUUUCAUGCUGCUUUAAAAAGCACGACUGCGGCUGCAGCGGCAGUGGCGACGGCGAUGGCACCGAAGAGAGCUCAGAAACGUCGGCAUAUGCUGCGGCGGAAGCAAUGAAAGGUGAUGGAGAGCAAAAGGCUACACUAGUGUCUGUCGACGGAGAGACGGAGAUAGAGCUCGAGACGCUACUGAAGGCGACGGCGUAUGUAGUCGGAGCCGCCGAGCGGGGAAUUGUCUACAAGGCAGUGCUCGUCGACGGGACGGCCUACGCGGUUCGACGGAUCGGCGAGGGGAGAGGCGACGGCAGCGACAGCAGCAGCGGCAUGGGGAAGUUUAGGGAAUUCGAAGCGAAUGUGCGCGCCAUCGCGAAGCUCCGGCACCGGAAUGUGCUUCGGCUCCGGGGGUUCUACUGGGGACCCCAGGAGAAGCUCCUCAUCCAUGACUUCGCGCCCAACGGUAGCCUCAACAACUACUCUUUCACCGGUAAGGACCUUUUUGCCCUUUUCAUUUAAAUGGAAAUAUUGCCGCGAACUAGGGAAAUUAUAGAUUUAUUUUAAGAAGUUUUUAAUUAUUAGGUAUUUUCAUUUAAAAGUUGUUUCCAUCGAUUAGCUGAUUGAUUAAAGUUGAUUUUAUCUAAUGAAAUGAUCAUUUUAUUUGUUAAUUAUUAGGUAUUUCAAUUCACUUUUUCCCCCCCACCCGUAUUUUACCUGUCAUUUCUUAGGCGUACCACCUCUGAGUUUUUAACUCUUACCCAAUUAUACAAAUCUUUAAUAUUUUAAAUAUUUGAUAAUUAAAACUUUGCGGUUAUAAAUAAUUACUUUUCGAAAUAUUCCCUCUUAGGAGGCACUUGGUUCUAUUAAGUGUUUGUACUGUUGUUUAACAGAUAAGGCGUGCUCGCCGUCCCCGUUCCACCUGAGCUUCGAAACACGGCUGAGGAUCGCAAGGGGCGUCGCGAGAGGCCUCGCAUUUCUUCACGAUAAGAAGCAUGUUCACGGCUACAUAAAGCCGAGCAACAUCUUGCUAGACGCCGACAUGGAGCCGCUGAUCAGCGACUUCGGCUUGGAUCGUCUGUUUUCUGUCAGCAGCAGCAGCAGCAGCAGCUCCAAGCGGAGCAUGUCGGCACGGAUAUUCGGAAGCAAGUGGUCUACAGCCGACCUCCCCGACCUAUCAAGCCCGUGCGGCGGCAGCUCUUCCUCGUCUGCCACGCCGUACCAUUCGCCAGAGAUGACACAGAAUCUGAAACUCAGUGCAAAGUCGGACGUGUACUCGUACGGAGUGGUUCUGUUGGAGCUGAUCGCCGGGAGGGUGCUUUCGGAGGUUGAGGUGUGCCAAUGGGAGUCCGGGUUUGCAGCACCACAAGCAGAGAAGAGCAGGGCUAUGAGGAUGGUGAAUCCAGCGAUGCGGGGAGCCGCCGAGGGGAGGGAAGAAGCUCUGCUCAGCUGCUUCAAGUUAGGGUUUUCUUGCUGCGCAGCGGCUCCGCAGAAGAGACCUGCUAUGAAAGAUGUUCUGCAAGUGUUAGAGAGGAUAUGCAUUUGAUAAGUUUAAUUUCUCCUCUUUGCCAUACAACAGUGGGAACAAUUGCUUCCAAAAUCUCACUGAUAAGCUAUUUUGCAAUUUGUACUUCACUGAAAUUGUAAAACUGUUCUCUUUGCCGCGGUAUGAUCCAAUAGCUUUAUAUGUGCUUUUCUCGCGCACCAAUCAACUUUUUCAGUACUUGUUUCCAUAAACAAAGCAACCACAUGAUAACAUUAUAAAAAGAGGUGAAAACAUACCUUCUACGAGCGAAGGAUGAUCCACAUUAGAUGUUCAUUUCUGACAAGUAAAAUUUUGCUUCUCCGGUGGUAGCUCACUAGAAUGUUAAACUUAAAGUAUCAUUGAGCUUGUUGCAUAGGAAAACUAUGUAAUAGCCUAUACAUCACAAUACAAUAUUAAACCGAACAACAUAAAUAACUUCUGAUACAAACAGUAACGCACAUUCCUACAUAUUUCCACUGAUUUCUUGCAUUAAACCAUAUUCAAUGAGUGAAUACCUGAUGCAAACCUAAGGCCUAGGACAGGAUGCUGCAUCAACUAGUUUCGUCCUCCCACUUACUAUUGCUAAUUGUAUAUUAGCAAUGAAUGGGUGAUAUACAAGCUUGAGCCCAUCAGUCCCCGAGUAAUCACAACAAUACUGCAAAUGAUAUCUUCCUCCUGGUCUUCCUUCUGACCAGUCGAAACUGGGUUCAAAAUUUCGAGGAAUAAAAUGAUUAGAGCAUCAUUUCUGAUAGAAUCACAAAGUUUCACGUUUUAUGAACCCGAGAUGAAAGGGAGGUGAGCAACUGCUGUAGGAAUUGAGAGAUGGAGAUUUUGCGCCGCUAAGUAUGCGAUGAUACCAGCAGAAUAACCUGCAAAUGCGAACCCACUCACCUGCAAAUAGGAAUAGCGUUGAAAUUUGAGACAGCAAAAAUUUGAGCAUCGGAAAAGAAAGAAAUCUAGAGAAAUCCACUUUUUGGAUCAGCAAAUUGUUGAGAAUUACAAUUACAAGUAGCUGGCAGUAACUUCACCUUGCGAAGAUACCAAAAGAAAUCCACCUUUUCCAUUCCCAUAAAUGCAACUCCCGCUGCAGAGCCAAUGAUAAGCAUAGACCCACCAGUGCCUGCACAGAAGGCGACGAGCUGCCAAAACUCGGAGUCUCGGGGAAAAGAAGUUAGAUCAUACAUUCCCAUUGUGGCAGCAACUAGUGGAACAUUGUCUAUAAUUGCCGAGACCACACCAAUCGCGGUAGCAAUCAGUUCAACAUUUGGAAUGUGAGCAUCGAGGUAAUUCGCUAAUUCCCUCAGAAUCCCGGCAGCCUCCAAGCUACCCACAAAACAAAGACAAUUAUUAGGAGCCAUAGUGUAUAAAAAUAUACUGUUUCGCUAACUAUUUCCAGGAAGAGAGAAUGUACAACUUGAUGUGCAUGCCAGAAAAUUCCAAACAUGUCUACAUAAUUAUGUUAAGAGGAUCACUAUGUCCUCUUGCUAAUCUGUAAUAUGCGGCAAGCACAACUUUCUAGCUAGAAAUAUAUAGAGUUAAAGGGCCUUUUCUUGGUGUGUGAAGUUUCAUUCAGAGAAAAUAUAAAGAGUCAAAAAAAUUUAAAUACACUAAUACAGAGUUUUGGCAGCAGUUGUUGUACGAUUUAUAAUUAUGAAUAAACACUUUGAACUAAGAGAUAAAGUAAUAAAUAGAUUAUAUUCUCCAACUAUUAUGUUCCAUCUAGAUCUUACCAUCUAGUUCAAGUACUUAUCUUUAUUAUGCAUUGAUCAGGAUGGGGUAACAUGCAUACCUGCUCACUGAAAGAAGGAUUCCCAAAAAGAAAAGGACUCCUUGUGUAUCGAUCCGCGACAAAGCCUGAGGCACUUUCAAUUUUUGCCUUCCAGAAUCACCAUAAUGAAUUGCAUCAGUUAAAAUCCAGAGAACUCCAAGCCCAAGCAGCAUGCCCAUGUAAGGGGGAAGGCCAGUAAGGGCUCUGAACACCGGAACAAACACUAAAGCUCCUAGUCCGACAGCAAAAACAAGUCGUCCUCGAGGAGCCAUCUGCUCGGUUGCCAACAAACCUGAAGAAUUCUGAGCUGUCCCAUUGACCUCACUAUAUUUUAAAAUUGAAACCAAAUGUCAGAGUAUACUGUUGAUAGAAAAGUCUCUUUGAACUGCUUUGUUGGCAAUAGCUAAUCAUUGAUCAAGUACCUAGUCAGGGACAUGAGAGCCAGUGGGACAGCCAAAGAGAGAACCGCGGGAACAAACAAGCCCUGCCAUUAAAAAAUAAAAAUAAAAAAUUUUAAAACAACAACAGCAUCCACAGAUCAAAGGCAGUGAAAUAUCACAAAGUACAGUUCCAUUCAUAGACAUGUUAUCAACCAUAUCACAAGCAUCCACAGAUCAAAUCAACAAAGGGAGAUCACAAAGGUAGUCUUGAGAAGUGUGCUAUUAUGUGAGAGUGUACUCCAAGGAUAGAAGAAGAAGAAGAAGAAAUUUGUUUAUAUUGUCAUAGUGAAAUACCCAGUGCACUAAAUAUAUACAAUGAGCUUUCCUGACUUCUAUCACAAAAUGUUGUCAAUUAAUUUUUCUUCAUCUGAUAUUUUCCCAUCUCAUAUUCCUUUAGAGGAAAGUCCAUAAUUCAAGAUAAAGACUAUCAAGGGACACACAAUUACCAAGGCUUAGAUACUACAGUACGUGGUAAGAUGGGCAGCAACUAAAUACUGCAGACAAAAUUUUAUUAUAAUGUAGGGAGCCCUUCUUCAUUGCAUUUACUUCACAAAAUAGGCCUUCAUAUCCUCACAAGGGAGAACUCAAAAAUAAAAACCACCAGGGAAUAUUCUAUAAUGGUCAACAUGCGAACAAGAGAAUUAGGAUGUGGACAUAGUUUGGAAAUGUUGAUCUGGACAAGUCAAAUUGGAAUAUUUUUACCCUCCUGCAGGCACCAAUACUGAUUUGAGGAGACUAAUAUCCACAAUCACGAAACAUUAUGCACAAUCACGAAACAUUAAUAUGGAAGAGAUUGCUGCAAAGUAAUUACAAAGUGGGCAAUGCAAAUCAAUUUUAAUAUACAGAAUCCGAAGCCUAUAUGCAUUUGGAAAAAGCAUGCAAAAGUUUCAUCAAACUCACAGUCAAACCAAGAAGAUACAAGUUUUAUGGGAAGCAUAAUAAACCCUAGUAGUUGAUAGUAAUGACUAGUCACACAAACAAUUAUGAAAAGCAUACAAACCAACUCAAGGCUUACAACUAUAUCGCUGUAAGAAAGAGAACAAUAUGAGUUGGCCAAGUAGUGCAAUCAAACAGCACAGACCUGCAUUAUUUUCAAAGUCGAGAUCUGACCAUGAAUCCACAACAUUGUUGUUGUGACAUCACCAAUUGGUGUCCAUGCGCCACCAGCAUUUGCCGCUAGAACAACAACAGCUCCUAAUAUUCUGCCAAUACCAAAGAAGACUCAAUAAAAGGAUAUAUACUAGAGAUUGUGGGAUAAAACAAGACAAAUCUGCACUGGAGGUUCUUAGCCGGUAACAAAUUUAAGGGUAGAGAUUCUAAACAGACAAAAAGAGGGAAAAAAAUCAACUGUGUUAUGGUGCACAUUACACUCUAAACACAAAGCUGUAUACAAGAGAGUUAUAGGAAAAUAACCAAGUAUCCAAUAGUAACAAAAUUGCAACAUAGCUAUUGGAUCCAAGCAAAAAUAAGAACACAAUAAUGUAACAUGUCACUCUGAAAGAAAAUGCAUUGCCCCUAGACAGAUAUGGUGAUCCUCAAAAGAGAUAUAAUCACUUCGAUAGAAAAUCAAAAUCGUAACAUAUCCAUACAAUUAUAAAAAAUCUUUGCAAGGAGUCGCUAGAGAAGACAAUGCAGUUCAUACUUCCUGUAUUCUGACGGAGGCACUAGCUUACGCAACAGUGAGACCAUCACUAUAGUCGACGUCAGGUUGUCAAGUACAGAACUUAAGAAGAAAGUUACAAAACCUACCUGAAAAUUCAACCACGAAUAGUUAGCUAUGGAGAAACUGCAAUAAAUUAGUUUUAACAAAGCCUUUAAAGUGAACGUUAUAUGAGACAAUUAGCUUGUUAGUCAAGUUCCUGGUUCCUUUACCCACAUCGUACAUUUUAGGGUGCAGUACAAAUCUGGAUAUAAAAUGGAACAAAAUAACAUAACAAAUAUAAGAAAAGAUAACAUAACAAAUAUGAGACAAGAAAAGAACAAAAUUGAAAAUAUUGCAUCUGCCUGCCUUGCAGUGCAAGGUAAAAAUUUUCACCUUCAUUUUAAUGAGCAAUUUAGAGAUGCAGACCAGUAAUUGAAGUUUGCAAUGUGCUUCUCAUCUUCCAUUUCUCAUAUCCAACCAAAUGAAUAAACAGUAUGGAUUAGCAAAAACCAUCAUCGAAGAUAACAACUUGCAGCUGGAAUUUACUAUUUUCAGCCAUGUACAAGGCAAAUCAAAUGAUGCACAAUAUUUUUGCUUUAGAGUUGAUGAGAUAACCCUUUAGCAUGCUAAAGGAAUGAAGAGAAGCAUUGAGGAUGUGUGUGUAAGCAGAAAUUCCUUUUCAGGAUAAAUUUGGUUCAGAUACAAAACUAAUAGAUCGAUAAAGAUUUGAUUGAACUAUAUUGAAUCUAUUGGUAAUUACGUAUUAACUUGUGAUAGAAAUAAGUAGAUAAGACUCAUGAAUGACUAAAAAAAGAACUUACCACCCAGAGGAGAAUUCGAGGAUUUCGAGUAGUAAUGUUGUCCGUAACCAGCUUAAAUCCUUGAUGUGCAUCAACAAUCUCUACAAUGGUCAUUGCACCAAGCAAAAAGAAAACUAUUUCACUAACUUCAGCAGAUGACUGGGUUAAUUCUGUAACAGCUAUGUCUGUUGAGGGAGCCUGCACCACCAGAAAGCGAUACUAUCAUCUUGUCAACCUAACCGAAGUAUAUCAAGCUAAAAUAAAUUUAUAAUUCCAGACAAACAUAUGUGGAAACUGAUACAUGUCACACUUAUUUGAGGUAAGAAGAGAACAAAUAGUACAAAACAUCAAUACAAGAGCAAAAGCAAAAUUUUACAGCAAAUUUGAUAUAUAUAUAGAGAGAAAAAAGAGUGAAUUCAAGUAUCAGAAGCUUGAUGGUCUAAACAUGGCUCCACACUUUUCAAAGGGAAAGAAUACUAACACAAACUAACUAAAAAGAUGCCAACAGCCAAUGGAAGGUUUAUUCUGUUUUCGAGUGUAUAAUUUAGAUUACCAUCUAGUAUCAGCAUUAUGAUUUUCAACCAUAUGUUGUGGUCAAGAAUCACAGCAUUUUCACAGCAUGACCGUCCAAUAUCAGCGACUUGCAGCUGGAAGAACUUCAGAAGGGGGGUGCCACAAGUUUGUGUAGCAUUAAAAUUAGGAACCAUUUUUAAGGUGGCAGAAAUCUGCCAAAUUCUGUCAAAGUAAAGAUGAACAGAAAUUUAAUUAAUAUUGUAGAAUAAAGCAUGUCUAAGCAACCAUUCACGUAGCAGUAAGUGAAAGUUAAAAAUCCAUUAUCUGCAAAUGUCGCUGAAUAACCAGCUGAAAAGCAAAGGAACUGCGACAAGAGAGAGAUCAUCAAAAUUCUCACCCCAAUGCUUCUUAUGACCCAUAAGCAAACGGCCAUCAACAACCCAACCCCGCUCUUGUUGAACGCAAGAGAUUCCUCAAAAAUAAUCCCUGCAUAACCAAUGGCAAAUACCAAUACCAUAGCAAGAUCCUGUACAAAUUAAUAUGUCAAAUCACACUACCACUGAUAGCUAAAUAUUCACAUUAUGCAGGACAAUAAAGAAAAGCAAAAAAGAAGCGAUAGAAGGGUGACCUAACCUGAUUAGCAGCUACCCAAGAAUGAUUUAUUGCAGCAGCUCCCGACAGAGAUAGCGCGAGAAUAGUUAGAGCUUUCAAUAAAUCAGUUUUGGGUUGGUAAUUUUCUUCGAAAUCCUGUGAGCUUACAUCAUCAACUGAACACAACGGAUCACACUUUCCUGAUGUAUCCAACAGCUGCAAAUGCGACGUAGCAGUACAAAGUCGAUAAAGAUAAUUGUUUUAGGUUCAAAUUAACUUCACCCAAACCAAACCAAAAAGUACAGCAUCAGAAUAAAAGUAAAAGUGUGAGGAAAAAGUAGCUAAAUUUUAGCCCUUUCGUUUACAAUACAUUACAACUAAGAAGCAUAAACUCUAUUCUUACUCUAACAUACCCAAAUGCAUCAUACGAGCACACAUAUGUACCAAUUUCAAGUGUGCCUGUUAACAAUGAAAGGAGAAGGGUAGUGAGGGGGGCACGAACCUCGUAGUCGCGGGGAUCAAUGGGGGCGGGAGAAGAGGAGGAGCUCUUGUCUUUGUCCUCGGCCCUCGCGAUUACGACCAUCUCUCGCCAUUGGUGGCGACGUGAGCUCAACAAGGAAGGGGGUAGUGGUAGGGGAGACGAUCUAUGGCUAUGGCGGAGGCGGAGCUCGCGAAAGGGAGAUAGAGAGGAGGAGAGGGCUUGGGAGGGCGAGGAGAGGGUUCCGAUCAAGUAGGAGGUGGAGAGCGCCAUUAGAGGGGGAGGGGCGAGGUCGAAGUUGCGGGGGUUGGAGAGCGAGGAGGGAGUGGGGGUAGGAGACGGUGAGUCCGAUGUAUGCGAAGUGAUGGUGGUCGCGACUCACGAGGAGGAGAGAAUCUCUGGGGUGAAAAUUGUAGAUACGUCCCCUCAACGAUAGGACGUUUCGAAAAUCGCCCCUCAACUUUGCUCUUUUUUAUUUUAGGUAAAAAUGAUGCAAAACUUUCAAAAAUUAUGAAUCAUCUUGAAUCAAAUAUCUAACUUUCUUGAUUUUACUGUACAAUCUUUUAAUUUAUUAUUCAUAGUAUUUUAACUUCAAAAUUUAAGUCAAUUGCUUACUUUAUUAAAGUUAUAGUUGUAAAAAAUGCAUGAAAUAUUCUAAUUAAAUCUGCAAAAAUAACCGAUGUAUUUAAAUUUUAAAAUCAAAUCCCUGUUGACUAAUGCAAAUGAAAUAAAUUAAAAUAUUAAGUAUUAAAAUUAGAAUUUUAAAAAAAUUGGAUAGACAGAUUAAAAUGAUUCAUAGUUCAUGUAAAUGUUGUACGAUUUUGCCUAUUUUUUAUUGGAAUCCUUUUAAUUUUUCAUUUUUUUAAAUUUGAAUUAUCUUGUCUAUUUUAAUUAAUUAAGUUAAAUUUAUAACUAAAGUAGUUAAAUUUUGAUAAAAUUUAAAAUUAUUUAAUUGAAAUUACUUAGAUUUUAAAAAAAUUUAACUUAUCACAAACUGAAUGACAUCAAUAAAAAAAAAAAAAGGUGACAUUUUAAAUAGGGGAUCACAAAUACUGGGUAAAUUGCACCACUAUUUCCUGGACUCUUGGCUCAGUUUCAUUUUGAUCUGCAAACUUUUAAGCUUGAUAUUCAGCAUCUUUCUUAUGUAUGUACAAAAAAAAGUGUCCCUUUGCUCAAAUGAAUCAACUCAUCAUCACUACAAAGGCAACUACAAACAGCCAUAUUUCUUCUAUAUAAUAUAUCUCAAAGUUUUGAGUAAUGACCCACCUGUUAAUGGUAAUUACAGAUAGAAAUGAAUGCCAUAAAAACCAUGUUAAGAAAUAAAAAAAAUAUAUUAUCAGGCCCCAAGAAAUUUAGUGGUAGUUGAGAUAAAUGAUGCUAAGCACCACAGCCAAUAAGCAUAUAACUGCAUUUGCAGAAGUUCCUGGUUGACCACUUGGUUCUGUUGGGGCCGGCGGUGUUGCAGCUGGCGGCGCCGAUUUCUCAGAGAGGUCAGCAACCGGCGGCAGUGGCGGGUCAACGACAUCGGAAGCUUCUAGAAUUGGAGCAGGGGGUUCAGCUGGAGGGGCUGCUUCUGGCGGGGCCAAGGAGAGGAGGGAUCCAGGCUCUGUGGGCAGUAUCGUGUAGGGCAGUUUCGCGUUCGCAUCGGAGCAUGGACUCCCUGUAGAAGUUAUGUUUCAGUAUGGCAUGCAAUAAAUCAUCGGAAACUUGAAUUUGCAUGUUGUCUAACUUUUCUCACGUAAAAUGUUUCCGACAGGUAGAUAAGGUGAUGAAUAAGGAAAGGUAUCAUGACGCCUACUCACGGUGAGAACUCCGUGUUACCGUAAAGUAACAAAGUUUAAUCUAGUGGAAUUCAUGAUAAUGGCAAGAAUCUAUGCGGGUGAGUACUUACUGAAAUAUGCACUUGCAGUUGCAGGAAAUUCAGUUACGAUCCCGUCGACUCCGACUCCCCCAACAUACGUGGCGAUCUCGGCCAAGGGGUCCGAAAAGAAAUCGAAUGCAAUCAUGAUGAACUCAUUCCUCAGCACCGAGACAUAAACAGAUAGAUUCGCUGCAUGCAGCUCCUUUACCACACCGGUAUAGCUAGAAAGGAAGAAGCCGGUGCUCGCCACAAUUGAAGAUCUGGGUAUGUUUACUGCUUCUGCAUACUGCUUGAUCUCAUCCACUGCUGGCUUCGGAGUAUCACUUAUGGUUUCUUUAAUAUUGAGGACUCGCUUGUAGGUAGGAUAUUUCUUGAACGUGGAGAGGACAGCGGUGUCGUCAGAUUGAAUGAGUACUUGCUGGUUGGUUCGAGUGUCGUAGCUAGCAUUUGUUAAGGCACCAGAGACAGCAUUGACGAUGUCGAGGCCCUUCUUAGAUGCAAGGUAGGGAGCAUUCUGAAUUCACAGAAUAAAAUGAAUGGCUUGUGAGAUCGCGAAUCACUAAAGUCUAAAGCUAAACAAUUGAUUAGUCUCUUAGAAACUCAAAUUCCUAGUGUGAAGGUUUUGCAAUAACAUGAUAAACUAACAAGAGAAUGUUACCUCUAUGUUAAUUAAGACACCAGAGACUCUGCUGUUCUUUGCAAAGUCCAGGAAAUCAGCAAGUGUCAUGAAUUUGCCCUGAUUUUUCGCUGCAGGAUUUCUCGCCAUGCCAGACUGAGAUAAAGGACUCACUAAAUCGGCUGAUGAGGGGAAAAAAAAAAGGAUUUGGAAACAAAAAAAAUUGUCAAAAUAUUGCUCAAUAUAGCUAGAAAUUUCAAAUUAAAACUCAGCCUGCAAGAUAAAUUUUGAAGGAUUCAAGACGCAAAACGUGGAAUGCUGCUGACAACGAGAAAAAAUAGUAACCAAAAAAGAAAGUCAAGGAGAAAGGUUCAAAAAUCUUUACGCUUCAAACUUUGAAUCUCGCUCCAUGUGAGGUCAAAUGAGAAGAUUCCGUUGUUCUGUUGUAUUUCAGGGACCAUCGUUGCUCGGGACAUGAAAGAAGCUAUUGCCGUCGUUUUGCCCAUAAGAUCUGGCGAAUCCAAACAGAAAGCAACUCCAUCUUUCGACAUCUGAACGGAGCAAUCGAUUACAUCAGCACCAUCUUUCACUGCUUGCUGAUAUGCGAGAUCAGUGCACCCAGCAAAUACGCCACUUGCGCCGUUGUGAGUCACAAUCAGCGGUCUCCCUAUAUCCAUAAGAGUUGCGAAACAAGAAUUAUUAGCUAUAAUGUGACUAAAAUAGCAUGACAUAUUUAAGAAUAAGAACAUCAACCUAACCUUCCUUGCGGGGAAUAUCAUUGUUGUUAUGGGCCAAGCAAGCUGCAUAGAUAAGCUCAUUAAUUAAAAAGUUGCCCGAUUGAAUAUUGUAGAAACUGUAUACAAUAAAACCAUAAAAUAUGGGCUUUUCUGCAAAGUCUAGUUACUUGAAAGAGAAAUUAAUCCUAUUGAAAAGGCAACGAAACAGAGAUAUUUUGUUAUCAGCUUACAUUUUAAAACACCUCUUCGUUUCAUAAAGAAAAGAUAGGAAGUACAAAAUCCUAUUGACAGAGAAAAAAUUCUCUCACCUACAGCCUCUGAUGCCGUAGAGGGGAAGUCCGUUAGCACACCAUCGACUGAGAAAUUGGAAUUAUCUAUGAACUGUAAAUACUCAGCGGUUGGAUCGAAACUAUAGUUAUAGCUCGCAGGGGCGUCAUUUGCAAAAUUAUAUGCAUAUACUUCAAGUCCCAGUCCAUGGGCAUCUGCAACCAGAGUAGUAGGUGGCUCCAAAUAUUGAUCUUUAGUAACGGGCCAUAUGUAAUUCUUUGGAACAAGAAUUCCUGAAGCAAAGGACUUUAUCAUCUUCAAGUCUUUAAGGAGGGAGCUAUAUGUUUGAUUAGCCGAGGGUUCAACGGCAUCCUCAUCGAGGAACCGGAAGAUUAGCUUUGUCUUGCCUCUUCUUAGCUUCCCAUUGAGACCUUUCAAAAAACCAAUUUCUGGAGAAGAGACAUAGUCGAUACUGAUUUGCCUCGAUGCAUCUAAUAUAUAUCCUGUAACAUCUAGACUGUGUUUCUCAAAGAACGAGUUAUACUGUAACAAUUCAAAGAAAGAGUAUCAUCAGAUCAAUGUUGAAUAAUUAAGAGCAUAAGAAACCAAGUAUGAAUAGCACUUCACGGUUAAAGCACAUCAUGCAGAGUCCUUUUCAUUAAAAGUUGAGCACUCCUGCAUUAGAUCUUAAAUCUUAUUCACUGUAACUAUAACAAGCUUGAACUAAAAUUAUACUGCCAAAACUUAUAUUUUAGUUCAAUUAUAGCCUUUUCCAAUCAUUGAGGCUUCAAAAUCAGAAAAGAUAUCUCGAAGAAAUUAGGGUCAACAAAGAUACGCAAGCAUAGAACAUGAGGAGAAAGUUAUAAAUACACAGAAGAAAGAUGAUAACUAUCAAUAUGGUCAUGCUUACCUGCACAUUCAACCAAAAGCGACUCGGCCGAAGCCCAGUCACAUCCUCAACAGCCAAUGGUGGUAGGUUGCCAUCAAAAACACUAGGUCGAGAGAAGAUACUUUGGAUCACUGUGGAGAUGUGAGAUGAACAGCACGAGAUAACGAUCAGUAUACAUUGCAAUAGAAUAAAUUAAUAAAGCAAUGCAGUAACUAUGUACAAAUAAAUGAAUUUUUUGGAGAGUUAAUGAAAGAAAACAUUUGGCUUCGAAGAAUUGGUUGCCUUAUUCAAUUUUACAUGCGGUAGAAGAAGAUUUACCACAUUAUAUAAGGAUGUUUGAAGAGAGUUACAUGAAAUAAACUGUUGUAUCCUUCAUAUGCAGCCAUAUACAAUUAACCAGAAUCUUCUAUUGUCCGAACCAACUAUCAGAACAAUCAAAAAUAACAUACAUAUUGCAUGAUUUCCAACACUAUUUUUGCAUGAAAAUUAUACGAUUUUAGGUAAGUGCAAUAGAUGAUAGAUACUUACAUGCGACAUUGUUGAAUAUCUCGUCAGCAGUGAAGUCCACUGAAAACCAUCCACGAAUUCGCUCUCCAUUUACAGUAUAAGUUUUCUGCCCUUUCGGGAAAGCACUUGCUAUUGUCGUGGAAUUAUCAAGUCUUAAGUCACUGUGGCACAUGCUAGCCCCAUCUUUUGUUAGUUGAAGGUCACAGAACAGAACUACACUUUUUAAACUUGUCGACAUGGCAAAUUGGUAGGCAUAUUGACUGGAUUCAGGAAAGAGCCCAGAGUACCCGCCACGAGCAAUGACUAAUGGAGCCUCACCUGCAGAUACAUAUCAAGAAUGCCUCAGUAGCAUUUCCGUGGUUAAUAAUAUCCGAUUCCUAGAUUUAAAGCUUACCGAAUGAGUCUUAUAGUUCUCGUAAGAGUCGAACAUUUUAAGAUAUCAUGAAAGUAACUCAUAACAAGUGCGCAUUCGUAACUACGUGACAGAUAAAGAGAAUCCAAUACGGCAGUUUUGUUUCGAAAUUCUCCUCACAAUAAGCCUAGCUUGAAGGUGAUAGAAAAUAGAAACAUGUCUAAGUUAAGCUGUUCAAUUCAUGUUCAUAGACAAUACAAAGACGCGUAGCGGAUAAUCGUUCAUUAGACCGCAUUAUAGUACGGCUCUGGAAAUUCAUUUUAGUUAAUCAAAUUCCCUUUGCAGAACAAAACCGACAGGCAAAAUAUGGUGUACGGCGCGAAUCGCAGCAUUGAGAUUUCAUAGUUCAAACGAAGGAGGCAAUGCUCUACGCAAAAGAUUUUCAGAAACAUGAUGUUUAUUUUAUCAAUCUUCGCUUAACUUGAAACUGGAGUUAAAAACUAUCAUCAUAAUAGCGAAAUCAAAGUAAUUAAAGAAUAAUUCGCAAAAUUCGGCAUUAGCAAGACGAAAUCAAGCCGAUACCGCUUAACGUCUGCCACUUGGGCAGCGGCGCCGCCGGAGAAUUCGCAGCGGCUGCGGCUGCACGGAGCAGCAACAGAGGAAAAAGAAGGAGGAGAUGCCUCUUCAUCUCCGGUUCCCCCGAGGAAACCCUACAAUUGAAACAGCAUCACCAACAUCACUCCAACUCAAUCACAUAGCAAUUGAAUCGAAGAAAUUCAUUAGAUGAGUUAAUAUUUUGAACCUCCGAUCACGAAACUCCACCCUAAAAUAAGCUUCAAAGAUUUGGUGGGCAAUAUAACACAAGCUAUAUAUGCACAGAGAGAGGUUUGAGUUUUUUUUUUUUUUAAGAAAAAUUAGGAAAAGGGGAAGGGAAAUUUGUGGAGAAAAUGAAGUGAUUUUUUCUCUCUCUCUCCAAAUAUAACGGAGGAGCUAAACUCUCUCUCUUAACCAUUCCUCUUGUAACCGCUCUCGCUGUCUCUCCCCUCUCUCUCUCCGAACCGUCCAUUAAAUGGCGGGAAUUCCUCGUGGCGCGGCGAACUCGGGACGUUGCGCGGCGGACGGGGGAUUUCAAUCCGUCGAGAGGAGUAAAUGUGCACAACAAAUAAAAAUCUUUUUUUAUUAUUAUACUUUUAUUAGCUAGAGUUUUUUUUUUUUUUUUUUUUUUUAAGAGAUAGAUAGCGCGUUACCUACUUACCUGCUUCGUUUAUUCCAUUUAGAAAUAAAUUUAGCUAAAAAUAUGAAUCAACUAAGAUUCGAACUUGCGUCUCAGAUACCAACCAUCAUGUCCUUUGCCAGUUGCCACUUGCUCUAAAGACGGUCAGCAAAUAAAAAUCUUUUUAUUAUUAUACUUUUAUGGGAAAACUUUAAAAAUUCUCCAUUUGGUUUUGCACUUUCUUAUUUUAGUAUCCUGAUUUUAUUAUCCUGUAAUUUAAAAUAUAUUAAGUUAGUACCUUGUGGUUUCACACUUUCUCACUUUAGUAUUCUGUGGUUUAAAGUGUAUCAAGUUAGUACUAUGUGGUUUCGCACUUCCUCACUUUAGUACCAUGUGGUUUAAUAUUACGUUAAAUUAUAUAUCUCGAAAUGGAUAAUAAAAAAAAAAAAUUGAAACUAUAAGGUACUAACUUGAUAUAAAAAUAAAACAAUAUAGUACUAACUUGAUACAUUUUAAACCACAGGGUACUAAAGUGAAAAAGUGCAAAACCAUAUAGUACUAACUUGAUGCACUUUAAAUUAUAGAAUAUUAAAAUAAAAAAAUACGAAAUUACAUUGGAUUUUUUGAAGUUUCCCUACUUUUAUUUGCUAGAGAAUAUUAAGGGCCGUUAGGUACUAAGACCUAUUUGCGGCGCGAAAAUGAUUCGAAACAAAUUAAUAUUUAUUUUAUUUUAUUUAGAAACGGUAUAAGCGGAACUAAAUUUUUGACGAAUUAAAAUAAAUAAAUAAAUAAAUAAAGCAGAGUAGAGCAUAUUUAGAACGAUGUUUUUUAGUUUUAAUAUUUAUUUAUUAUUUUAUUUGAAGUAGAUCAAAUAAGAGACGAAAAGAAUUAAAACAAAAGAACAUGAAAACAUAUUUUUUUAUUUUUUUUACUAUAAAAUUUUAUAUUUUAAUAGGUGAAAUGGAAAUAACAUAUGCACCCUGUUAUUUGCAAUUUCAAAAUAUAUAUAUAUAUAUAUAUAUAUAUAUAUAUAUAUAUAUAUAUAUAAAAUAAGAAAAGAAAAACAUGCUUUUUUUUCUGGAUACAAUUAAUAAAAUAUAAUGUAAACGAUUUAUUAUGUACAUAUCAUAAUUUUUUUGCGAUUCCAUAAAAAAUCUUAGCCAAUUGAUCUGGCAUCCUCAAUACGAAAGCAAUUACGAUAUUUAAAAAAAAUAAAUUAAAAAUAAUUAAAUAAAUAUUUUUGGUUGAAAAUAACUUAAACUAUUAAAGUAAUCAAAGUUUACUUAUCCACGAGGUACUGAGUAAAUAAAAUUUAGGAAAAACUUCAAAAACCACCAUAUAACUUCGCACUUUCUUAUUUAGUAUCAUGUGGUUUAAAGUAUAUCAAGUUAGUAUUCUGUCGUUUCGCACUUUCUCACUUUAGUAACCUGUGUUUCAAGUGUAUUAAGUUAGUACUUAUAUCAAGUUAGUACAAUAUGGUUUUAAAUUUUUUUUUUAUUAUCCAUUUGGAGUAUAUAAUUUAACAAAAUAUUAAACCCACAUGGUACUAAAGUGAGAAAGUGCAAAAACUAUAGAAACUAAUUUGAUAUACUUUAAUUAUAGUGUGCUAAAGUGAGAAAGUAUAAAAUCAUAGAGUACUAACUUGAUACACUUAAACCAUAUAGUAUUAAAAUAAAAAAUGUAAAACUAAAGUAGGGGUUAUUAAAGUUUCCCUGAAAUUUAUUCACUUUAUGGCCGUUGUAUAAACUAUUAUAUGAAUCAAGGGCGGUGUAGUGAGGAAAGGCCUUAAUAAAUAAAUAAGUAAAUAAAAGCAAGCCAUGCACAGGUGUCAGCAGCCCUUUCGUUUUGCCCGCGCUCUUUCAUAAGCAGCUGACAGCUCUCCUUCCUUUGCUACCUGCCACACCACCCAUCACCCCUCUAGCAGCUACCACAAAAACAAUAAACAACAACACUGUAUAUAUAUAUAUAUAUAUAUAUUAUAUAUAUAUAAUAAUAUAUUAUAUAUAUAUAUAUACAACUCUCUACAAAGAACCGUGUUACUACUCAAAACCAUAUAGGCCUCUUUCUCUCUCGUUCUCUGCUUCUUUUAAGAUGUCGAAAUACGCAAAAUAGUCCUUUGCAAGGUUACGUGCUAAUAAAACAGGCAUGCAUAUAUAUUUUUUUUUGAAAAAAAAAAAUGCUAGAUUAAUGCUGCGGUUGCGUGCGUGCGUGCGUGCAUGGAUGCAGGGUACGACGACGAGCGGCGACACGGAGACGAGUCGCCGGCGGGGGGCUGCCCGGCAGGAAGGGAUCGGGGAAAGAAGGAGACGAAGACGGUGCAGACGGUGGACUACCGGGAGUCGGCCUGCGGGCAGCAGCACGACACGCGGCCCGUCGAGGUCGUGCACGAGAUCCCCUCCAAGGACAACGAUCCCAAGCAGGACUGAGCUUCUUUACCAACACCAGGAUCGAUCUGAGAAUCGAUUUAUAUAUAUAUAUAUAUAUAUAUAUAGCUUAAUUUCGCUAAUAAGAGAUUAGUUAUUGUUAAUCUCCUCUGUGUGUGGCUGAAACGUGAGUAAUUAAUUAGAUUUGCACUUUUGUUAAUUUCCUCUGUUUUUGAAAAUCUUUUUUGCUUCUUUUUCUUUUUCUUUUUUCUUUUUGGGUGUGUGUGGUGGUUGCAUGGUGACACGGGUUUUGGAUUGCAAUAUUGCCUAAGUGCUUUUCUCAUGGAUCCUGCAUCUGAAUUAGCCUUUGUGAUUCAAAGUUUUUGUUGAAUGCUUUAAAGAAGGCUAAAAUAAAUGCCUCAUUUGGGUUUUUUCACUUUUAUAUAAAUGUAAUUUUUUUUCCUUAAAAAGUGCUUUUCAUUCAAAGAUAAGGACCUUGCGGGGUCUGUCUAAUGCUAAUGUUAAUAGGUGAAUUGGAGUUGGGACGAGAAUAUAUAAAAAUAAUAAUAAUAAUAAUACUUUUGUUAUAUAUCGUAAUCACUCGCUACAAUAUAUGUUACAAUAUGCAUGGUAUUAAAAUACUCUCUAACAAGAAAUAAAAUAAUUUACAUUCUUAUAAAUUGUUGUGGAAAUUCGUUAUGAAAUGAUGAUUAAUCAUUAGAUAGAUGAUAUCAAAAAUAAUUGGUAAAAAAAAGUACCUAUCCCAUUAACAUCAGGAUUUAAGAACUCAAGAGCACAGAAAUUAUUGCUUCGCUUCUGAUUAUCCUUAAUUGAAGAGGGUAUUAAGAGACCAGCAGUGUUUGGUUCAUCAAAAAAGUAUAAAAAAAUUUAUUUUUUUUUUAAAAAAAAUUAUAAUUACUUGUUUAUAAUCUGUAUUUUUUAAAUAAAAAAUUUAAGAAAUGAAAGCAUGCAGUACUAUAUUUCCACGAGAUGUGAACAAAAACAAAAAAAAAAAUAAUAAUAAUAAUCAGAAGUAGUUCUUCUAAAAACCAAACGAAAAAGUUUUUUUUUUGGACCAGAAAAUUACUUUACAGGAUAGUUUUUAGGAAACCAAACACUCCCUAGGAAAUUCAAUGAGAGAACCAAUUGGAUACAACCAAACCAGAUCAAAAAUGUUCAUAACAAAUAAAAACUAACCAAAGCAUAUAAGCACGUGCCCAUAUAAAAUAUAAAAUUAAGAUGAUGAUAGAAUCCCAAAAAAAUAUCAAUAUUGUGAUACCAGUGACAAAACCUGUCUAAAUUAAUACAGCAGCAAAAGAAAUACUUUAUGAAACACCCCAAAAUAGGGAAAUUCUUAAUGCUAUAAUUGGAGAAAUAGACAUAUCCUCAACCAGCUUCGUAAAGUUGUUCGAUCGAAGUCGACACGAUUUCUGCCGAAUGUUCUGCAAUUUGAUGAAUGGCACCAUAAUUUCAUCAGUGAUCUACAACUACAUUUAGCCCAAAACCCUUUAAAGUGCGCUCACUAUUUGUUGAAGAUGCAAAUGCCCACCUGGGAAUAAAUUACAACCAAAGGGUAAGAACAUAUUGGAUCUAACGGAACUUCCAUCAAAUGAUGUUCAGAAUAAUAUAGCAUCGACUAAAACCUGGAGCGUCUGUUAUAGAUAGAGCAAUAAAAAUCACAAUUUAUGGACCUCUAUAGCACAGUACUUUAAGCCGUGCACUUGCAUAAUUAUGAUAUGAUGUUCAUAGAAGCAGCCUGAUUUCAUACAUAAUAUGUUUUUACUUGAUUAACCAAAAUGAAUAUGCAUGCUUCAUUAAAUGAAUGCCUAGAUAUAGAAAGAAGCACAUGUCACGUGUUUUUGUGCAAAAGCGCACUGAGAGACAAGAUGAUGAAGAGGCUUGAGAGAGAGUGAUAAUGAUGAAAAAGGAUAAUGAUCUGUAUCCUGAUCAAAUCACAGGAUAUAAACAAGUUAUCCUGGCUAUAAUUAGCUUAGUUAUCAGAACACCAGAAAUGGACCAACUAGAGUUUCAUAUCAUCAUCCAGAUAAACAUAACUUGUUGGCCCCCAAGUUAAUAUAACUGAAAAAUUAUUAUAGCCUCGUCUGAGCAGCCUUAAGGCGCAGGCCUGUGAGCCUCGCGCGUAGGCGCUAAGGAGAGCGCCUAUUUUAAUCACUACUAUCAGCUAGUUCUACAUCAGUGCAAUACACUGGUCCUCAUAAUCUCCUGUUUUAAGCCUUCCACCUCCCAUAUCAUCAGGACAAUUAAACGAACGAGGCUUCACGAAAUGAAAGCAAAGAAGUUUGCAACUCAAAAUAAAACUGAUGAUGAAGGAAAAUCUUAUAUGUGAUGUUGUGACAAUGCCAUCAGAGGCACCUAGGGAUGACCUUCCUCGAUUUUGCUAACUCAGAUUAUAUGCAAACCAUUCAAUUUUGCUAACUCAGAUUAUAUGCAAACCAGUAUAUACAGCAUUUUGUUUGAUGGCAAAAAACAAAAGUAUGGCAGUAACUUCUUAUUUCCUUAACAAGCAAAAGCAAAGAAAUGCAUCUGUAGAUGCUUUCAACCAUAUUGAGCUUCACGAAUGCCAAAAGAACUGCAAAAAGAAUAGGGAAGAAGGUAAAAGAGGCAAAAUAUGAGUAUAACAUUUGGAAAUUACUCAAUGCUCAUGAGAAAAAUCUAACAUGCACUAGGAAGAACCCUAACCAACCACAAAUGUGUACGCAAGUCCCAGCAAUAAACCUGCAGGCAAUGUAUAUGUGUACCAUGAACUGUGACAACACAGAAAACCAGCAUGUGGGAUCGAGAGGAUGCUGCACAAUAAUAUGGACCACAGGACGUUAAGUACUUGCUUGGACAAGCAUUGGAACAACACAUAGGACAAACAUAUUUGGAGCAAAGCUUAAUCAAAAUUGAGGCGGCCCCUUGAACAAAUUUAGAUACAAUUUCAACCAAAUUCAACUCAUUCAAUACUCCAGAAGUUUCUAAUGUAUAAUAUUGAAAGAAUAACUAUUGCCAUCAAGCCACAACAGGCAUUUGGAUUGGCUUAUAUAUGUGCAAUUCAUCCAUACACCAUGUUUGGUGAAAGUAGAAACUUAGUUCUGCCAACGGCUACAACAGCACCAAGGCUGUUGGCUCAAAUCCUUGAAAAUAGCUUCCGUCAAAAAAUACAGAAUCAUUUUUUUGUGGAAACCAUAUCUAUCAGUCCAUAAUGACGAGGAAAGAAAAAUCAUUUCUCCAGAUACCAAUCCAAAUUCUAAAUUGCUAAUGUCUCCACUCUUACAAACUUAUACUUGCGAAUUGCGGCUGAGGUGCACUUAGGACAGCCCAAACGCCUGCUAUGACUCAUAACUAGGAAGAGUGAUACCUACUAGGUUGUAGUUUAGCAUAAACUCAAGAAAUUGUCCGAUUAAAGCUUCUCUAGACGAAAGAGAUCAAGACUCAAAUGUGCCAGGAAAACAGCCCUGAGGUAACGUUCUGGUCAGAAUUACUUUUUUGCAUCAAACUAUGCUAUUUAUGGUCGUACUUGCCUGUACGCAGACCACAUUAUAUGUCAAAUAAUCUGCACAUAAUGUUUUGAAAUUUUCAUUAUCCUACAUAACAGUUUCAGAUGUUCAUGCAAUGAAUCACUAGAACAAAAAUCAGAUAUAAAGAUGAGACAUAAAUGUGUUAACUUCAGAGUGAGUUAUAACUCGUACAUGAAAUUGUCCAGGCACCAGAAAGUAAAGCGGCUACUGGGUCUUCUUCUCUUUUCUCGAUUCUCCAGUCUUGCUUAAGAUGUUGUCAUACUGCUUCAAAAAUAAACUGUGUGCAAUACCAAGCUUCUCAUCAACAUGAUCCUGGUAUUUGUCAUACAGAGCAGGUACAGUGAGAGAUAGGAGAAUCCCUGUAAAAAAGCCAAAGUCGACAUUUUAGACACAGAUCAAGAAGCAAAAAUGAUACCAACAGAAUCACUGUAAAAUAAAAUUCAACUAAGAACACACCAAUGUAGACAACUGUAAGGAAGUUGAAGAACCUUCCAAUAUACGAAACAAGCCACAAAACCAAGAUAACCUGUACGAAGAGAGUGAUCGAAGUUAUACACAAAACGACCGCAAGCUCACAAGGAGAACAGAGAUUCGUGACGGGAAAUAGAAUCACACCUCAAGGAACACCUUCCUAUCUCGCUUAAUGGCAAUGUCAUGGCCAAUAGCCAACACGCGGUUGAUCCACACUCUGGCCUCAUUCGCAGCCUUCUCUACGACCUCAUCGGACACUUCCAGAUUCGGAAGCGGCGGCAGAGGUCUAAAACGUCCAAAUUAGUAGCAAUAGAUCAUCAAUUCAUCAUCAUACUACACGCCAACAAAUUCUACUGAGAGCAACAAUGAGAUCGACAAUCCCCUAUACAACAACUGAUCUAGAAAUGAGAAGAAUCUAGAGAGGAAAAAGGGAAUCAAACCUGUUGAGGAGCAAGGCGGAUUUGGCCCAGAAGAAGAGGAUGGCGACGAGGAGGAGGAGGGCGUUGAGAGAGAGAGAGAGAGAGAGAGAGAGAGAGAGAGGGGCCUUUGGUUUUGGGAUCGAGUUAGGUUACCGGCGGCUAGGGAGGAGGAGGAGGAGCCACCGCGGCGGCGAGAGGUGGCGGCGGUGCCGGGGGAGCUCGAGGGCCCCGGCGCGGGCCGCUAGGCAGGUGGAGCGGGAGCCGCCGCCGAGUCCAGAGGGGGGGUUGGGUAGGGGAAGAGGAGGAAGAACAUGGAGAGAUCCCAAAAGGAAAGGGCACCACCACUACGUAUCUACGAAGGCACGAACAGGGUCACCGGCUGCACGAGGACACCGCCGCCUCCUCGCGGCGGCGGCGACGGCGCCGCACGCGGUGGCGCAAGACCAUGAAGAAGCUCGCGCGGCCCAUGUCGAAGGAGAGGCAGCAGCGNUAACGGCCGUUAGGUGGGCCCUCCACGUGCCAUCCACGUGAGCACGCUCGUAUGUUCUUUUUUUUUUUUUUUUUUUUUUUUUUUUUUUUCUUUCGGGGAGAAUGUGCGGAAGCCCCUUCACUAUAUUUAUUACAUGUGUAAAUGGUUCCUUCACUUUAAUCUUUUUUUUUAAUUUUAAAUCCUAAUGAUUUUAGUUAAAUUAAUUAAAAAUUAUAUCAAAUUUCUUAUUAAUUUUAUAAAAUUUUGGAAAACUAUAACAAGUUUUUACCAGAUUAAUUUCUGAGAAUCUAGUAAAUUGGGAAUUUGAUGUGUGAUGUUGUGGUUGGAUGCAGCAGUUGAGGUUUUGAAGAACUUUACUUAUAAUUUAUAAUAAAUAUGAUAACAAAUGAUGUUGAUGAUAAUAAUAAUAAAUUGUUGGUGGUAGGGCACUAGUUGAGGGGGCAUGGACAAGUAAAAUGACUACAAAAAAUGACUACAAAUAAUGACAUGGUCACAUGCAACCUAAAUAGUAAGUUCUUUUUUUUUUUCUUUUUCUUUUAAUAAGAUGCAUUAUUCUGAUCACAAACACGCGGUGCCAAAGAAGGUUCCGGAGUUGUACCUUUUCUUUUGUUAUUUUUCAUUAUAUUUAGUUACAUGUAGGACUAAAUUUAUCAGAAUUUUUUAACUUCGCAUCAACUUUGUUGUGACAUUUACGAAAAAUCUAAAAUGUUUAAAAUUAGUACACCAACAGUCACUCUCUCGCGAUUCACCAUCUAAUUAUUCACUAUUAAGUAUGUAGUACUAAGUAUGAAUUAAUUAAUAUCAAGGCUAAUUUGGUAACCUAUUGACUAAAAAUAUAGUUUUAUAUUUUAAAAAUUCCAAAAAAUAAACUCAAAAACACUUCCGAUCACUCCAAUGUUAUAACAUUACUUAAAAAGCAUAAAAGCAUAUAGUUACGCUUCUUCGGUGGCCAUUGCUAACAAGUGACAUGAAGAACAUAUGUCUCUGACUUGUUAAAAGGAUGUUUGGUUUUUUAAAAAAUAUUGCAAAAAAUUAAUUUUCUAGAUGAACUGCAAAGUAGGACUAAAUAAGGAAUAAAACAUACCAUAGUGGCUAGUUUGCAUUAUGCAGACAUACGCAUAAAAUGAAAGAGAGAAAGAGAACAAUACAACGUGCCUAUCAACAAACUCAUUUUCUGGAAAAUUAAUUNCAUAGUGGCUAGUUUGCAUUAUGCAGACAUACGCAUAAAAUGAAAGAGAGAAAGAGAACAAUACAACGUGCCUAUCAACAAACUCAUUUUCUGGAAAAAAAAAAAAAAAAAAAAGAAAGAAAAACCUAGAUCAUGCUCUAACAUAAACAUUGUUGCACCAUAGCAUUGUUGCAGCAUGCUCCCAAAUCUCUAAUAGUAAGAUUUAAGCCAGUGAGUUAGCUGAUCCUCUUAAAGAUCAAAAUCUAGUUGUAUCACUAUAAUGCGAAGUAACCCAUGUAAAUUUUUACAUUAAACACCGAAUGCGCGAGAAAGAGGAAAACAUUAACAAGUAAAACCCGAAUACGACGACAAAGAAACGAAAGACAAGCCUCCCCCUUUUCCUACAAUGAUCAACUUCAAGUCGGCUUCGCUUAAUGAUCGCUUCGCACGUUACAAAGAUUAAUGCUGCAAAUUUGCUUGACGUUGCGUCGAUUUUGAUUUGCAAAAAGGAGAACACAAAAGAACAGAGAUCUACUAAAUAAACCAUUUCCUCACCAAGUGUGUGUAUUGACCUGCCAUUAGUAAGUUCGCCAGAGUACUUUUCCUGCCUCGGCCGGAGAAAAAGUUGGAGCUAACUGAAGUACAAGCUCAGAAUAUGUCUUGUCGGAUUGAACCCAAUGAGUAUCACUAUGAAGUAGAAAAAAAAAAUGAACAAAAGCAUGGUGAGAUGAAGGGCUUAAACUUAGAUUUAUGUGGUCCAGCAAUAAUGCUAAUACUUACUAAGAGGGGAGAGGAUGAAAACGAGCCCAAUCGGGUACAAGAAGAAAGUAGUUCUGUCCAAGAACGGAAGGACUGCAGCAACGAAUACAAGACCAAGAAAUCAUAUGUUAAAAAAUAAAAUCAUUAGUAUUAUUGGGUGCAUUUGUAAGUACAAUGUUUUACAUACCAUCAUAUCCUAGGAAGUUCAGAUAGUGGUAGUAAGAGAUUGCGACCAUGAAAAGCAAAUUUGAUAGCAGAACGGGAAAGAAGCCAUGUGCGACCAAAAUAGGAGACAAAAAGUAGUGAAUUACUGUGAGAGGAACUAGUAGUCAGUGAAAAAUACUCAGAUAACUGCAAAUAAUAUUUAAUAUAAAUGUCAAGAUUUUGUUGAAAACAAAAUAAAAUGAUAAAAUUACCGUAAAGUAAGAUGAAUGCUGGAAAGAAUGAGUUGCAGUGAACAUCAAAAGCAUAUAGCCUGAAAAGGGGGGAGAAAAAAACAGCGACUUAUGAUAGUGUUUGUGAUAAUGCCAACAGCAGGUAAUUCACAUGAUAUGACCCCCCCAAAAUACAGGCAAGACUAAAGGAAAGAAAGAUACAUAAGUUAUUUGUGGUAUCAUAGUAAAUAAAUAUAACAAUUAAGAAACUAACAGGGAUAUGAUGAACACUUGAAGACCCUUCGUUCUAUGUUUAAUCUUCUACAAACAAUUUACUCUAAGUAGUGCUGGCCUUCCCCCUCAAGUUCCCUAUGGGGCUAUUCAGUUCUCGAAAUAGAUAUAUUUUAAAGCAAAUCUAGUUCUUCCCUCAGAUAUUUAGUUAAUAAUAGAAAAGACGAAUGAAGAACAACUAGAAGGAACAUAUGAUUAUUUGAAGUGUGGUGUCCAAAUAUAUGCACAAGAAUAUAAAAUUAUGAGUUCUCCAUGAGAUACCAUUCAACACGUUGCUCGACAACAUGGCUGUUAGGCACCUCUUCACGCAAAUACGAAUUUGUUAGAAACCUACAGCAAACAUCAAAAUCGCACAUUACUUUUCUGAAAUAGCAAUUGCCUCUAAAUAUUGCAAUAAAGAUGACUAAUAUUUUGGUGAAAUCAAAAUAAUAACCACAAGUACUCUACUAUGAUAGAUUGAAAGAUCCAUACAAAUUAGUAAAAGGUUGUUUUAAUUAGUCAAUUACAAGAGUAGGCAAUAGGAAGUUACUGUUGGAUUUUGCUUUGAAAACAAAAUUAACAAAGGCAGGUUCCAACAUAGUUAGAAAGAAUAUACAAUAUAAAUGAUUUGAAAUGAAAUGUACACUCACAAGAGAGGAAAACUAAGAGGAAAUCCAUUAGAAAUUAAUCUUCACAGACCUGAUCAUAUUCCAAAAAUCAAAAUACAAGCUCUCUUAAAAAAAAAAAAAACCUUCACCAUAAUCAUUUUUAAAAGCACGAUAACAGUCUAACAGCUACAUAUAUAUAAUAUCAAUUUUACAGACCACAUGAGCAUUCUUUCUGGUUAGGACCACUCAAGAACCAGUUGAGAUAGAAAUGCAGUUACGAAGUGAUGAAUAGUUCUCAAGGUUCCUGAAGGAAAAGAAAAGGAGCUAUGCAAGUGCUCUAUGUAAUCAAACAGACAUCCAAAAUGAAUAGAUAAAAGCAUGGACAACCUAUUGAAAGCAGGGAGCGCCACCAUCACAAUAGGGUUAGUCUCUAAACUACAUACAGCUUAAGUUUCAAUUUAGUGCCUGUAUUUGUAAAAUUUGGUCAAACUUUAGUGCCAUCAAGUAUCAACAAAGCCCACUUCGUGCACUAUCAGCGAUACCUAGAUUCUUCAGAUGCAAUCACCUAUUGGAGGAUACUGUGUAAACUGAGGCAUAGAUAGGAUAUCAAGUUCUUAGCUACCUCGUUAGAUGUCAUUAUACACCAAAUUAAUUUGAAGAUGCAAGAAACAUUUCUAAUAGCAUCAUCAUUCAUGAAAAUCAAGCAUUAAAAUACAGGUAAAACUAUAAAAGCACUUAAGUACUCAGGUUACUGUAUUCGAAAGUGCAAGUACAAUCUUUUGAAAGCAGUUAAAACAAUGUCAUGCCAUUAAAGCUGCUGACAGCAGCAGCAUUAUAUACAACCAUAACUGAUAGUCAAAAUCUGUGAUGUAAAAAAGCCUAGGGGCGUUCAAGAUUCAAAAUCUUACCAACAACAUGUGGCCAAAACAAUUCCAGCUAAUAAGAAAUGGACAAGUACAACAGAUGUAAUUGUAAAAACGGUAUGUGCUGCACUAUCUCCAUACCUGAUUUGAUGGAAGAAAAUGUAUACGUUGAUAACAAUAUUAAACAAAUAAUCAAAAAAAGCAAUAAGUAUAAUAAUAAGUCAAUAACUCAUCAGAGGAAACUCCAAAAAUUAAAGGACGUGCAAAAAUAUUUCUUCUUACCCAAAAUAUAUCCUCUUCUACAAGUUGUGAAGUUUUUUUGACUAGAAACGAAAAAAAAAAAAAAAUCGAACAGGUAAAUAGAUAAAUAUGAAAGAAAAAACUUACGCAACACAAUAAGCUAAAGUGGCAAACACAAGAAAAAGACAGAAGAUGACGACAAAAGCAGGAUCAUCACGAGCCCAUUGGUUCUUUGUUUCUGGAAAAUAAGGAAAACUAUAAGUUCCAUAGAAAUAAACAAUACUUCAAGAGAACAGGACAAUUAAUAUUAGUUCAUGCAUAUAUGAUUUCUUACAAUAAGGAGGAACAUUUUUAUGAACAUGAAUGACUAAAGAGAGUGCAUAUGCGUUACCAUAAAGAUAUUAAUUAACCAUAUACAUAUUAUAUAAGAUGUGUAACUAUAAAUAUUGCUCCACAAAUUGGAAUGCACUCUUAACAUCAGAAUUGUUAAAGGUAGAUCACUUACGUUUAUGAUAUUUUGUGUGCUGAUAGCUGUCCAAAAGAGUACAUUACAUGCAAGAAAAAGAGACAUAAUACAAAUCAGCCUUUUUACUAGAUAAUACCAAGGAAUAGUUUAAAAAAAAAAAAAAAGCAAACCAAAGAUGUCAGAAAAAAGAUUAUUGCAUCUUGUUGAAUGCACUCUUAACCAAUUAAUCAGCCAUUUCAUGCCCAUCGGCUUUAAAGACUCACUAAAUUUGUUAUCAACCGUCAGAUAACAUUAUAUAUAUGAUUGACACUACGAACAUGUUGCACCAACGAGUCCUUGCAACAAAAAGGUUGCCAAGCAAUGACAGGUAUGAUGUCCAAAGAACCCCAUUAUACUCUACGGAAGAGAAAACAUACUAGAAUAUUCAUUAACGCUGCAAGUACAUUAAUCUGACAAAAUAUUUGCUAAAAUUCUACUGUAUAUCUUAAUUACUGCAUACACAUCCAUCUGAAGUUCUGAACUAUAACUUUGAGCAUGAAACCUGAAUAUAAAAUAAGUAUUUUCACCGAUGCGAAUAGAAUGAAAUGGAAUAAGGAAAGAUGCAUACACAACUUUCGGCGAGGUGCAAAGAUGAAGCAUUUGCCAGAAUGUAUACUCGAUGUCCAUUUGUUGCCACUACGAUAAGAAAAAUUAACAAGUAAGAUGAGACGACAGAAGUCUGUUCAGACAUAAUGAUAAACAUGAACUAUUCACCAACAUGCAUGAGAUCAAUCUAAAAAUGGCUUCCCAGUACAAAAACUUGCAAGGAUCUGCAGAGUACUAAUAUUGAAAGUAUGUCGGACAAGCUUCAUCAAUAAUCAUCAAACCACAAGAAAAAAGCACAUGAUAGCACAAUGAGAAGCCACGAAUAUCUUCCAGAUUGUAUCAGCCUAAAAGACUCUUGCACUCUACAAAAAGCGUACGAAGAAUCUCGCAGUUUGUUUGCUAAAAAAAGAAAGCCCUUGUACUUUAUGCCAUCCCAAACAGGUCCAAAAAUUCAGAAUGAUUGCAUAACUCCAUUGGAACAGGUUGGCGGAUGACAAUGUCAUAUCAAAUGGAGUACGGUCACAUAAAUAUUAUAACAAUUUUCGUAUACUGCAAAACAUGGAACCCUAUCGAAAUCCAAGCAGUCGUAGAUCUCCCCUAGCACUUGAGUUCCACCUUAUGGCCAUAAAUUAUGCAGCUUAGUUCACAAAAUUGAACAGAAAUGCAGAUCCUAGCAUCUAAAUUCACUUCAGAAACAAUUCAAUCCCAUUUUCUGAUCAUUUACACCAAUUCCCAAUCUAGCAAACAACAAGAUGCUCGUUUCUCCUCCACUGAACUGAGAUCAACAUUAAUAGAUCGAAAAUUCGAGUAUUAGAGCUGCGCAACGAGGAUCUAAACCCUAGUUAUAGGCAGGAGGGGAGGGAUCGAACCUUGAUGAUUCUUCGGAGGUAUUGGGGGAACAAGGGCGGCGCGGGUCGGAGAGAGGAAGAGGGCGUUCGCCCUUUCGACACCGUCGGAAGCAUCGCCUCCUCUUCUUCGAUCGAUCGCGCUCUCUCUCUCUCUCUCUCUCUCCCGAUCGAACGAUCGAUCGAAUCAAAUCGAUUGAACUCUUUUUCUUCUGUUUUUUUUUUUUUCCCUCACUUUCUCUCUCUCUCUCUCUCUCUCUCUCUCUCUCUCUCUCUUCCUUCGUUCGCCUUCGAGAUCUGAGUGGUUAUUUUUCUUUUAUUUUUAUUUUUAUUUUUAUUUUUAUUUGAUCGACGGUGAGAUUUGGCGAGGAGUCGUUCGUCGCCUCAACUCGGCCUACUAAAACUCUGCAAUGUAUACUAAAUUUUUAAUUUUUAAUUUUAAAUUUCAAAUUUUUAAAUUUAAAUUAAAUGAAUGUGAAGAACUUGGUUAGACACAAAUACUUACUGUUGGACAACUACGUAAUUUUUGAAAUUGUUUAUUUUAGCAUUUUUUUACUUUUAAUUAGUAUGACUUUUUGAGCUGUUAUUACAUGAAUCAUGUGAGAAACUAUAAUUAAAUUCAUUAGAAUAAAUAUUACAUUGAAUUUCAGUACUCCAAUUAUUAUUAAAUAGCUUGAAUUACUUGAAUUAAUAAGUUAUUUAGCAGAAUAAAAUUGGUGGGGUAAUUUUUAAAAAAUACAUCGUACUUAAAAUUACUCCAUGCAAUUUUACCCAAAAAAAUUGGGAUGUGGGACAAAAUUGUUAUUUGGAUAUAGCAUUUUUUAGAAAAGCAUUAUAUUAAGAUCCUUUAAAAAGUUACCAUCUCAUAAUGCUCAACCUGAAACCCAAAAUGAUUUUGAGACCAUUAUGUUCAAAUUAUGAGCCUUAUAAAUAUAAACUCUUAAGCGAUUUUGAUUGAAUUGUAAAAUAAGUUAGAAAUUAUAUUUAGACUUCGUUUGAAAUUACAGAAAAAUUACAUUAUGUGCGGUAAGAAAGUACGAUAAAAAAAUACCCUAUUUGUUUCCGUAAAUAGAGACAUAUUCUUAUAUACUUUUUUCCUAACUCCAUUUUAUCUAACAGCGUCAGAUAGACCUCAAUACCAAACUAAGCCUUAAUAUAUUUCACCUUUUCUGAUAAAAUUACUUACAAAUCGCUUUAUUAAACAACAAUACACUCAACAACAAAACUAAACAAAGGCUUUGUUUGGGAUUGUUGGGAAAUUGUGUUAUGUGUGGUGAGAAUGUAGGAUAGAAAAAUAUUUCGUUUGUUUUUAAACGUAAUAUUACGUUCCGCAUAUCGCGAUAAAUCGGUUAUUAUAUAUUUUCUGCAGUCCCAUCGGGAUACCAAACUAAGCCAAAGACAUAAUACGCUUCAAAGGCUAGGAUAAACCCAGUGGACUAUAAAUAUUUGGGCCAUGAACGGUCCAAGCCGGUCCAAGAAAUAAAGUGUGGAUUUAAAAUCCGAGCUCCGGUCCAAUUUGACAUACAUAAGAACGUAGUACUUAGGCCUGUAUGGGCCCAUAAGCUCGGCCUAAUUGGGUCGGAUUUAGGCCUAAUAUCCCCGUAGAACUCUCAAAAGAUCCAAUAUAAUACCACUUAACCCAAAUAAUUGGAACGAGAAAAAAAGAGUUCUUAUAUCCUCAUUUUGAAAAUGCUUCUUUUAGCAAAAUUUAUUUCAAAUAUAUAUAAAUGAACGUGAUUCCUAAAGAAUUUUCUAUGUGCCCGGUGCAAUUCUACCCCUUUUUUGGAUAAAAAUAUACGAGAUUCACCUGAACUAUGGACUCUCGAAAUUUUAAUUUUACUAAUCAUCAUUUCAAUUUGUUUGAUUUGACUCAGUCAAUGAUACUCUGACUUUAAAUUUUGAAUGCGGUGUUUAUAUAUAUUUACAUAUUUAAUUAGCAUACUUUAUAUAAAUACUCGUAACUAUAAAUUUAUUAAAAUAAAUAAUUAACUUAUAUUUUGAAGUUAAAGUAUCAUCGGCCAAUUCAAAUCAAAUAAAUUGAAAAAUCUAAAAUCAAAGUUUUAAAAAUUAGACAACAGACUCAGAAUAGUU
This 45265-nucleotide long non-coding RNA is filed under the name Ananas comosus (pineapple). Its description in RNAcentral is "long non-coding RNA (ACOM_LNC021812)". The record is from RNAcentral. Lineage: Eukaryota; Viridiplantae; Streptophyta; Magnoliopsida; Poales; Bromeliaceae.